This 80920-nucleotide long non-coding RNA is filed under the name Eucalyptus grandis. Its description in RNAcentral is "long non-coding RNA (EGRA_LNC006327)". The record is from RNAcentral. Lineage: Eukaryota; Viridiplantae; Streptophyta; Magnoliopsida; Myrtales; Myrtaceae.
GUCAUCUAAGAAAUGAUCAGCACAACGCAUACCCCCUAACCCAAUUUCUAGAAGAAUUAAAACCACAAUUUCUUGCUCUGCCCAGCUUACCAUAAGUACAAUAUCUUAGACCCUGCUUUCAAUGUGUACACAUAAAUGAAGUCGGCGCAUCUAGUCUCAAAUUCCUUCUUCAAUCCUCUUCACCUUCUGAGCCUUGCUCUCCCCAAAUUCCUUGGCGGCGUCAUAUGAUGCAUGUAAUCCCAACAGCACAUAGUAGACUAACAGAAAGCCGGUCCAGAUCCCGAACCGAAUGAACGAGUCCUUGUCGAUGGACCCGAGAAGGAAGAUGUUGAUGGCGAUGGAGGCCGACGGCAACCACGGGACUAAUGGCACUCCACACAGUUUCGGAUUGCGGGCAUGAGGAACGAACACCCUCAGUGCCUCAAUCUCUUGAGAUUGGAGCACAAGAGCUUCUAAUACAGAUUGCGAGGCUGUUGUGGUAUGACCUUUCGAAUACUUUCAAUAAACUUCAGAGGAUUGUUCACUCACUAAAAGACUGUUCCUGUCAAUUUCUUUAAUCUACACUACCUAGUCCCAGUUUUAGGAAUAAUUCUAGUCGAUCGUUCCGUUUGAUGCAUGGAUGACGACAAUAUAAGAGUUUUCCUUAUGUGAACUACAUUAAUUGAGAUUGUAAUUACCAUUUUACGGGGUUGGUCUAAUAAGGUAAGGCAUAAGGUUUUCUUAAUGGUCGAAUAUAGGCCUGGCAUUGUGUGGACCGAGUUAGGCCAGGCCCGUGAUAAGAUGGCUCGUUCAAAACUCUAUAAAUAGCGCUAAGCUCCCUCCUCUAGCCCUGAUUCUUCCACGAACUCUCUCUCUCACCUCACAUAAGGCAAGUUGUGAGUUGUGAGCUAUGUAGCACCGACACUCUCCAGGAGCCUUCGUAUCGUAUCCGACACUCCGACACGUGUCUGACACGCUCCAACACGUCCCGACACGCGGUCAACAAGUGUUGAAAAAUCUGACACGUGAUAAAAUCUCUCCAACACGCUCCAAUACGUAAGUCCAUAAUUCCAACACGCCAUUUCGACACGCACGGGGUCAAUUUUAAAAAUUUCUAAUACUUAAGGGGUCAAAAUAUAAAUAUACAAAAAAGAAGUAGUAAAAGAAGUAAUAAAAAAUGUUAUAAAUAUACACACACAGGAUCAAUUUUUUUUUUUUCAGUUUUGUUUUUUUAGAAUUUUUUUAUUUUUUUUAAAGUCUUUUACUAUGAAUUAAGUAAUAAAAAAAUGCUAUAUAUUGUAAAUAAAUAAAUUUAAAAAUAUCAUUUCAGCAUUUUUCUUUAAACAAUGUUUUUUUCCUCUAAGUUUUAUGUAUUAUUAUAACAAAUUAAAAUGAUGAAUGAUAUUAUUUUAAUAUUUUUCGUGUAAAUUAAUUCUAGGCUAUUUUAUUUUUUAUUCAUGUAUUUAUAUAUAAAAAUAUAUUUAAUAUACAACGUGUCGGAACAUGUCGGAAUUCUCUAUUUUUAAGAAAUGACGUGUCGACGUGUCGUGUCACUUGUCGCGUGUCCAUGUCAAUGCUAUAUAGAUUGUGAGUGGCGGUCUCAUCGAGCCAGGAACUGAGGGUCAUAGAGGAGAAGAACCUGAGCAUUGGCUCGUCGUUUGAGCGUUGGAUCGUCGUUAUUCCAAGUAAAGAACGUUGGAUUCCAAAUCAGGUACGCAAACCUUUGAAUUCUCCUCCUACAUGUUCAGUUUUCUAGCUACAUCGAUCCUGGGAAGCUGCUUUGGCGGCCAACAUUUGGUAUUAGAGCCUCAUAGCCUAGAACCCGAACUAUUGCUUCUAGCCCAUUUUCGGAAAUUUUGGCCAUUGAAACUUGGUUUUGAAAACAUAUUUGGAUUCAUCUUGUCGAACUAAGCAUUUCAGUGGGUGGCACGCCUCUGGCGGAGACCAAAUAUGUUGGCGAUGAGAAUUUCGAAUUUCACCUGCCCUUGGAACAUUUCACCCGUUUUCAUGAAUUUUGGUCCGAUGAAAGUGCAUUUUUAUUGUAUAAAUGGCUUCUACUCAUCCAUACGAGCAUUUUGGUGGGUAGAAUAUCAUCAGAAGAUGCCGGAAAUGGCCGCACGCUCCACCACGUGUCGAGACGGAGCUCAGAGGCGGUGCCACGCACCGCCCCGCCGCCUCACACGCUCGCACGCGCGCUCAUGCGCACGGUCGCAUGGCCUCACAUGCAUGCAUGCGUGCUCAUGCGCGCUGACGCAUGGACCACCACGCAGCUUCAUGCGAGCGCACUGCCUCGGCGAUGAUGACGUCAUCACGCCGAUUUCGCCACCACCAUGGACAUGUGUCCUAUGAUGACGUCAUCAUGACGUCACGUAUGCCGCCUUACGUGCAAUUGCCACGUGGCAUGUGAUGUCAUUGAUGAUGCCACCACAGACCCGACCUGGCGUUAAUCGGAUCGACAUGACCCGAGUUGAUCGGUUUGACCCGACCGAGGUCUGUUGGGUUGACCGUUGACCAAUUCGGCUCGUUGACCGGUCGGACUAGCUUCGGGCCGAUUUCCGAGCGCCAGCGCGUGCAUAUCACGCGCCACACAUUCUAGAGGCGCAUGGAGGCGCGUGGGAGGUCCGAUUGGAGCAUGGUUUGGACUGUUGUGCUCGUAUGGAUGUUCUCUACACUAUUAUGUGUUUAUUUUAUAUUUUUGAUGAUUUUAUAAAUGUGAAAAUGCAUGUGAAACCCUAAGAUACGUGAUUUUAGGGGUAUUUUUUGGGUAUUUUUUGUGUAUUUCUCUAUGGUUUUGAAAAUACAUUACGAGUUCACAUGUAUAUUAUCACAUAAGGAAUGUGUAGAGCAUUGAUUCAUUGAUAACAUGUAUAAGGUUCACUAUAUAUUAACAAAUAGAUUAAUGUGAUUGGCCUGAAGUGUGAUUUAUGUGACGAAUUGCCCCCAUCAUCAAGUCUAAAAUCACAUGUGAAAGGUGAAUGUGAGUCAUAAAGUUUUAUCCUUAAUAUGAGAUAAUUUUGAUGAUUCAAUUGGGUUGUGACCGCCAAAGUGGCACACUUGAUUGGAUUUGAGAAACAUUGAUCUCAUAUCGUAAUGUAAUGUCUUUUGUUCUGAUGCAUGUUUAUACUCCCAAAUGAGGUAAUUGUGUGUUAGUUCAUGGAAAGAUGCAUGCACAACAUAUGGUUGAGGAGUGACUGACCCUAGUGGUUCAUACACCUGAAGGUAGUGAAUCUGCAAAAGGUUAAAAUAUAUUCUCAUGACCGCUAUCAUGUGGAGAAUAUGCAAUUGCAUGCCAUAUAUUCUACCCAAAGGUAUUUAUAUGAUGAUGUGUGUAACUCUUAGGAUGUGUAUUUAUAAGGUUUUCAAGUUACCUAGUACUCAUAUGGUGCCAAUUACAUAUGUUGCUUGUUAUUAUGUUACAUUAUCUGUAAUGGUAACUCCAUUAUAAUUGAGGUUCCUAUUGGUCAAAUUUUAAGUAGAGAAAAGAUUUUUCUGUUAAGGAUGGAUGCUGGUAGAUGUUCAUAUUGCUCUUACUUUGAAUAAGUGAAGAAUCUCAUUAUUAAUUAUAUAGAAUUAGAAUGUAUUCCUUGCUGCUUAGGAAUGGGAAAUUGAAUUUGUCCAUCAUCAAUAAAGUGUUCUAUUUAAGAACACUUGAAAAUCAUUUACCAGCUGACUGCAUUAUUAGAAUGAUGAUGAAAGCCUUGGUGACUUGAAAUUGUGUCUUGUCUAUUGUCAAGAUUGGUAUAAAUGCAAGGUUUUAAUGAGGUUAAGGAUUACGUCCUACAGAUGGUAGAUUGCAAGUCCAAAAUCAUACUCAUGAAGGAAUUUAUGAAACCAUUGGUUAUUCUGACAAUUUGGUCUUAGGAUAUCAUCAUUAAGAAAAAUGGUAUCAUUCACUGUUUUUGUGAGAAGAAAUGACACAUAAAGACAUUGUAAUGAUAUAAAACUUACUUGUCCAAGCAUGAGUGAGAGAUUGUCAUUCAUUGGCAUUCAUUUAUGAAUUCAAUUCCUAUCAAAAGCCUCAUCCGGUUCUUGGUGGCUAGAUAGUGGUGUAACAUAAUAUUACCAUAAAGGGAUUUAUAAAUCUAAGAAAGCUAAAUUAGAAUGAAUCAUAACUUAUCAUGUAAAACAACAUUUAACGUUGUUUUAGUGGGAGAUGUUGUUUUGACUAUCAAUACUGGUUAGUAGUUAACAUUGAAAAACACUUUCAUGUACCUUCAUUUAGACGAAACUUAGUUUCUAUAUCAUGUCUGGAAGUGUGCAGCUAUUCUUUUGAAACAAAGAAUAUUGUUAUUUUAAUGUUUUCCAAAUCAAAUGAAGUUAGAUGUUGUAAUGGGUCAAAUGAAUUGUACUAGUUGUGUUCACCUCCCAAGGAUAAAUAUGUCGUUUUAAAAUUGAAAAUGUUGUUUCCAAUAGAGAUUUACCUGAAGAACAAUCUUAUGCAUUGUAGCAUGAAUGUUUUGAUUAUAUGUCUAGAGAAAGAGUAGAAAGACUGAUAAUAUUGAUAUUUUGUUUACUCUUAAAUGUUGCCUAAAGACUUAAGUAGACUAUUGUAGAAGUAAGAUGAUAAAGAUAAAGAAGAAAACUGCAGUCUGAAGUCCUAACUUGUUAGAGGUUAUUGACAUUGAUAUUGGUGACCAUAUAUGGUAAAGUUGUAUAGAAAUAUUGACGACUAUUUCCUUUUGAUUAAAGAAAAAUCUGAAUCUUUAGAUAAAUUCAAAUUCUUUUAGACUAAAGCCAAGAAACAGUUGGGAUGAACCUUAAAGAUUGUCAGAUAUGACCACAAUAGUAAUUAUUUUGACAAAUAUGUCAAUAUUUGAUAGCUUAAAGGGCCAUUUGUCAAAUACUUGAAAGAUUCUAGGAUGAUAACUUAGUUUACCAUAUCCGAAAAUCUUGGAACAAAUUGUUGUGGCCGAAAGGCGUAAUUUCAUUAUCAUGGACAUGAUAGUGAGUAUGAUUACUAGGACUAACUUAUCAAGUUUUCUAUGGGCGAAAAGCCCAUUAUGCAUUAAACCGUAUUAUUAUCAAAGGUGUUCUAUGGGCUCCCUUUUGAGUUGUGGAUCAAAUGUAAACUUAACUUGAAGGGAUAUUGGGUUUUAUUAUCCCAAUAGAAGCAUAAGAAUUGUGAAAUCACAGAUAGCGAAGUCUCUAGAGUUCAGUGAAAAUGCAGAAGAUAGUUGCUCUAAGACUAUUAAAGUAAUGGUAUGGUGGAGACCAUUGUGUCUUUAUCUUUCCCUAUACAGAAAAUUGUUGAGUCUUUUAUAGCACAAAUUAAACUUGUGAGGUUCAGGAUAUUGUUAUUGAUAUGAUUCUUGAUGAAGUUUCUCAAACCUCUCGGGUAUAGGAUGAAGUGAUUAUAGCUCUACUCAAGAGAUCUGUUACGGAAAUAUGUUCAGUUAUACCACCAUACUAUAUAGUCUAUCAUAAGAGUAUGAUUACGAUAUUUGCUACGUGAUCGAACUAGUGACUUGUAUGUGCAAAUGCUGUUUUUUGUCCUCGGUCUGAUCUGUGGUUAGACGUAAUGAAAAGACGAGAUGCAAUUUAUAAAAUGUGAUAAUGUUUGGGAGCUUAUUAAAUUGGUUGAGGGUGAGACUAAGAGAAAUUUUAAGGGAAACAUUGAGAAGUUUAAACUCUAAUUGCUAAUAAAAAGAUUUCACUUAGAGAGAAGUUUAAUAUUUUCUAAAGACUAUUUUAGAGUGAAUAUGGUAUUACUGGCUCAUUUUUAUGGAGUUACAUUAGAUAGAUCAUUCUAAUUGUGUUUCUUAAUUAAUAUCCUAAUAAAGAAGUCUAUGUGGUAUAACCCAAAGGUUUUGCAGUGGAUGAUUUAGGUAAGCUUGUGUGUAAACUGAAAACCCUUAUUUAUGGCAUUAAAAGAGUCUGUAGAUCAAAUGAUGCCUGAAGUUUUAUAAUAUUAUCACAUCAUUCAGUUUUAUUGAGAGUAUAAUACAUCACUGUAUAUACUACAAGGUCAGUGGGAGAAAAUUUAGUUUUCUCAGAUUCCUUGUAAGUGAUAAUUUGCUUGCUAUAGCAAUAUAUGAUUACUGCAUAAGAUAAUAUAAAUAUUGUCGAGGAAUUUUGACUUGAAAGACCCUGGUCAAGUACCUUUUGUCAUUGGCAUUGAGAUCUAUAAAAAUCGUUCUUGGCACAUGUUAGACUUAUCUUAGAUUGUAUAUGUUGUUUGUAGUUUGAAAAUAUUCAAUAAGCCAGGACUUGCUGCUAUUGUUAGGGUUGAUAGAUUAAAUAUCUAGCAUUAUCCUUGUUCAAAUUUUGGGAAAAUCCAAAUAAAAGAUAUGCUUUAAGCUAGUGCGUUUACAAGUAUCAUACAUGCUUAAGUUCGCACUAGACUAGAUGUAACUUUUGUAGCAAAACUUUUAGGUAGAUAUCAAUCAAGCCUAAGACAUGAUCACUAGAUUGCUGCUAAUGAGGUUUUGAGACACUGAAAAGGAUAAGAAAACUAUAUAUUGACAAAUAUGUUCAGGAUCUAGAGUUAGUAGGGUACUCGAAUGCAAAUUUUACUAGCUAUAAGGAUAACAAGAAGUUGAUAGCUGUCGCCACCUAAAUUUCGGGUGCACCACUUAAAACUAGGUUAAUGGACUACUAAGUCUUUAAACUCAGCUCGGGCUCUCAUAAACUCAUACCAAUUCGCAAUUUAGAUUCAAAUAUUUAGCAUGCAAAUGAAUUUUAUUUAGGAGUCGCCACUAAUCGAUUUAUGGUAGGUCGAUUAGACACCUAAGUAAAAUAAUGGGAUAAUUAUUUUACUCCUACGACCCAGAGACUAAGGGUAUAGGGACUUGGUUACACUAGAUUUCUUUAAUGCCAUUUCAGUACCAUUUCUUUUUAAUUUUCAAAAACGUUGUUGCAGGUAGCUUGGAUUUAUUUUUACCUAAAUUACUAUCAUGUAAUGGGGUGAUCACACAUAUGCCCAUUCAUUGUUAAACAUUCAAAUAAAAAAUAAAAAAUUGCAUCACACAAAGCAAGUAAUUUUUUUUUUUUUUGAGUUUUCUUGAAAUUAGAAUUUUUUUAUAAAACAUGCAUUUUAACAAAAUGACCUAAUUUUACUAAUAAAAAAAUUCUAAUUAAAUGAUCCUAUUAUGCAAACUAAUUAAUAUGCACCUCAUGACCUAAUUUUACUACUAAAUAAAUUCUAAUCAAGUGAUCCUAUUAUGCAAACUACUUAAUAUGCAUCUCAUAUUUUUUGUAUUUUCUUUAUUGAAAUUCAAAAUUAAUAAAAACCCUAAUUAAAAUAUCUAAAGAAAAUAAUUUUCUAAAUAUUUUAGGGAUUAAUUUGACUUAAACGCUAUCUAAUCUUAGAAAACUAUUUUUUGGAAAAAUGAGACUAAAAUGUGCAAACAUUAUCUAAAACCCUAUUUUUAAAAAAAAAAUUAUUUAGGUCCAACCCUUACUUAUUUAAAAAGAAUUAUCUUAAAAUGCAAUCCUAAAAAUAUAAUCCUAAAAAAAUGAUUUACUAAACCUACAUGUCUGAUUUACUAAGUCUAUAUGCUCAUGCAAGAUUCUGAUUUUUUUUUUUAUAGUUUUUUUAUGAUGAGUAAUUAUUAAAUAGAUAUUAAAUCUAAACAAUCAAUAUAGUCAACAAAUAAAGGAUUAAAAUAACCUAAAAAUAACAUGUUGUCUCACAGGUCAAAUUAAUGAUUAUUUUAACCUUAAUUAUCACGAUAAAGAGUUCAAAAUAAGUAAAAAUCUAAUCAGAUCAAAUUAAUAAUUACAAUGAUUUAACAACCAAAAUAAUACCAAAAAGCCCGAAAAGUAAUAUAAUUAAAAAAAUGAUCCGACAUCUUAUGGAUCAAAUUAAUAAUUAUAAAAAUUCUGGACAAAAUCCUUGCGGAUAGUGCCUACAAAAUUCAUGAAAUCAAUAUUGACAUACUAAGUUCUAAUUUAAACAAUAAUAACAAAACUUAAAAAAUGAUAAUAAAAUAGCAUAAAAAAUAAACAAAUAAAAGUAAAAGUAAAACUAACUACCUAAAUGAAGGGACUUACAGCAGCGUUAGUGGGCGUCGAACGAAUGGGGGCCGGCGUCAGUACCUCGCCGAGGGGACCGAGGCGCUGCAGGGGCGUUGGGCACCGGGCGGUUGCGGAGCAGCGCGGGCUACUGGGGCGAGAAGGAGGACAGUGGCGAGUGGGCUAUUGCAGGGUGAAUUGCAGGUCGCGGGUGAGGCGCAGUGGUGAACGGAGACGCGGCAGGGGCUCGGCGAGGGCGUCAGGCGCUGCUGCAAGCGCGGUUGUCGAGCAAAGGCUGGCAGGCACGGCGCAGUCGUCGGCGCGAGCGGUGCUGGACAACAGAUCGCUAGUCGUCGGGUGCCACAGGUGGAGGCGAGGCUGUUGAAGAUACUAUUACCGAUGCCGAUUGAUCUUAAUUCCUUUGUUAUUUAGACACUUUGUAUUAUAAAUAGAUUGUAAUUACAUACUUAAAGGAAUAGAGAAAAACAAUAUACAAUUCUCCAAAUCUUCAAGUUUUCUAUUUUUCUGACAUGGUAUCAAAGCCUCCCGCCUUGGCCUAGCUUCCGCAACGCCUUUUUUUUUUUUUUUUCUUUAGGGAGGAAUCAUGUCGAAGAUUGAAGAUUCAACUUCCGGUAUUUCUGAGGGAAAUCCACAGUCCCUCAACAAUCAGAGAGGAGACAUCAUCCCUGCAGAACAACAGACGAAUCCAUCAAAAAAUCAAACAGGUCUCGUGCAACCUGUACAGCCCAACACAGGAUUUAAUCCUGUAAAUCCCUUAAUAGGACCAUACAUUCAGUGGGUACCUGUAUCAAUUCAACCAAAUCAAGGAGGUUCGACUCAGAAUUUACCUCAAAUCGAGCCCGGAAGGAUUGGUGGGAUGGAGGAAAAUCCAUCGCACAUACUCGGAGCGGGUCCUGGAUACGGGGCGAACUGGACCUUCAUGAGUCAGAGUGGGUCAGGUCCUGGCUACGGGGCGAGCAGUCCUUACCCAGCCUACGGACCCGGAUUUUUUCCGUUUGCAGGUCUCGGCGGCAGGCCAGAACCUGGAGACCCACUGUACACCACGACCGCCGACGGACCGGAGCUGCGUCUGAUCUCCCAGCAGUUGUCGGGACCGGAGAAUUACUCCCUAUGGUCUCGCGAACUCCGGCGAGUGCUCGUGACCAAAGACAAAGACGGAUUUUUGGACGGCACCGUCUCGAUGCCAUCCGACGAGCGGCUUGCACGACAAUGGCGCAAGUGCAACUAGCUUGUUCGGACCUGGAUAGGAAAUUGCCUCACGGUGGAGGUCGCCGCCGGAGUACCACUAACCGAAGAUGCAAAGAAAUUUUGGGAGAAUUUACGGGAAAUGUAUGGUAAGCUAGAUAGAGCGAAAAUUUUCAUGCUAACGCAAACUUUAUCAGAUCUCAAGCAGGGAAAUUUAUCAAUCUCGACAAUAUAUAAUAAACUCUCUGCCCUAUGGAACGAAAUCGAAAUGACAGAGGAGAAAUUGGAGGGACCCGAGGCGACUUUGGCCCAAUACCGGGCCAUGAAAGAUCGGGAGAAGGUUACCCGCUUCCUGCUCGUGUUGAAUGAGAGCUACUUACCGUUUCGUAGCCAGAUCUUGGCCAUGGAUCUAGUUCCCCUGCUCAGCCGCAUAUACCAACUUGCGGUUCAAGAAGAAUCCCAGAGGCUGGCGUCGUCUGAGUACGUGAAGACUGUGGACCACGUUGUUCUUGCGACCAAGGCCUUGUCGAAGUAGCGACUCAGCUCCGGAAGAUCUGGCCAUGGAGGUUUCUCGAAAAAAACGAGAACGCUAGGGUUAGGGGAGGAAGAAGAGGUUUUUUAUCCAUCUCAAAUGGACGGCCAGGAUUAUUUCGCAAGAUCGGACGGUUUGGGCAACUCGCAAGGAAUGAACGGGUGAGAUUCAAUCUUUGGAUCUGACGGUGGAGGUUCCUUCACACCAUCGGAUGGCUCCUUCGCGCAAUCGGACGGCCCACCUUUCGCCCUUGCAGCGCCCCGAUCUGACGAUGCAUCAGCGUCCGUUUUAAGGCGAUCCAACGGCCAAAAUUUGGCCACAUCCUCGAACGAAAAUAAUUCCAACAAAUGGAAAGGUAAAUUUUGUGAUUAUUGCAAAAAACCUUAUCAUACCAAGAAAAUUGUUGGAAAUUGCAUGGAAGACCAGGGGAGAAGAAGGAACAAGAAUUUUCUAUAGCAGCAAAUGCUAAGGUGAAUGAAUCCAUUAGCAAUGACCAACUGCAACAAAUCAUGAGGACCCUAAAUCAGAUGGGAACUCAGGAAAAGAUGCCUAGUUAUGCAGGUAUUUCUUAUUAUUUGAUGAGCAAUAUUUCAAGCAAUGCAUGGAUUAUUGAUUCAGGUGCCAGUGACCAUAUAGUCUGUAAUGAACGGUUCUUUUCUAAAUUAGAAAAAUCUUCGAAUCAUACUUCUGUUUGCCUCCCAAAUGGCAAUGAUAUUUCGGUAGAUAAAAUUGGGGAUGUUGAGCUGAGUCCUUCCAUCACACUAAAAAAUGUCCUCUUCAUUCCAAAUUUUCAGUUCAAUCUCAUUUCUGUAUCUAAGAUCUGUCAAGACAAUCUCUGUCAGGUCAUUUUUUAUUCUGACAUUUGUCUCUUCCAGGCCCCUUUGACUAGGACACUGAUGGGCUCGAGUAGGAAUUUCGAGGGACUUUAUUUCUGGACGACAUUUCCAAAGAAUUUUUCCUUCAAUAAGAGCAUCUUAUGUAAUGCCAAUCAUAAUAAAAAUGUCUCUUUAUCCCAUCAGCGUCUAGGCCAUAGCACCGCUUUUCCUCAUCCCAAGUGUCCUAUAUGCCCAUUGGCUAAACAGUCUAGAAUGUCUUUUCCACAAAGCACAUCACAUGCUGCUCGAGCCUUCUCUCUAUUACACAUGGAUAUUUGGGGCCCAUAUCACACCCCUCAUCGUGAUGGGUCACGCUUCUUUCUAACUAUCGUAGAUGAUCAUACUCGAGCAACUUGGGUUUUUCUUAUGCAAUCUAAAGCCCAAGUCCUUUCACAUCUCAAAAAUUUUAUUGUCCUAAUCAAAAACCAGUUUAACAAAUCCGUUCAACUGGUUCGUACUGACAAUGCACGAGAAUUCUUUAAUCAUGAAUGUUCUUCAUUGUUCAUUUCCAAUGGUAUUCUUCAUGAAAGCUCUUGUGUUUAUACUCCUCAACAAAAUGGGAUUGUAGAAAGGAAACAUCGUCAUUUGUUAGAAGUUGCUCGAGCUCUUAAGUAUCAAGCUUCAAUUCCUGAAAUUUUUUGGGGAGACUGCGUGGUCACAGCGGCAUACCUGAUCAAUAGAAUGCCAUCUCGAGUUUUGAGUGGAAAAACUCCAUUCAAGUCAUUGUUUGGAAAACGUCCCGACAUUCGUCAUCUUCGUGUUUUUGGAUGUUUAUGCUAUGUAUCUACCACGGGCCCUCGGGACAAAUUGGGUCCCUGUGCCCUCCCUUGCAUAUUUAUGGGAUAUCCUACCCUUCAAAAAGGAUAUUUGGUUCUUGAUCCAUCUACCGGAAGAUUCUUCGUUAGCAGAUAUGUUAUCUUUCACGAAGAUGUUUUCCCAUUCAAGGAUAGGCUAUCAUCACAACAGCAUGAAGAUCCCCUGGUGUCUUCUCGUCCUUUUUUGCAUGAAGACGAUCCUUCACAAGGAUCAAUGAUGAUGCUUCCACAAAUAAUAUCUCCUAUAGCAUCUUCAGAAGUCAAUGCACAUGUUGCAUCGGAUGGGGACAAUGAAAUAUCCAGCCUUCCUUCAUCAAAUAUUUCCGAAGAACCUGAAUCUUCGCAAGCCAAUAUUCUGGCAGACGACACCUCUGCAAACUCACAAGUUGAUGUUUCAUUUGAACCAACUAAUCUUCGGCGAUCAAGACGCACAGUUCAACCACCAACAUGGACAGCGAAUUACGUUUGUUCGUCGUCAAAAAGGUGUGGUACACAAUAUCCUAUUUCCUCCUAUGUCAGUUUUGCUAAUCUCUCUCUUGAACAUAGAUGAUGUGUUAGUAGAAUUUCUGCACAGCAUGAACCUUCCUCUUAUGAUGAGGCUGCCAUGGAUCCUCGUUGGCAACAAGCUAUGAAAGAUGAGUUACAAGCUCUCAUCGAGAAUGAGACUUGGGAUAUUGUUCGCUUACCUUCCCAUCGUCGACCUAUAGGAUGCAAAUGGGUAUACAAGAUCAAACAUAAAGCAGACGGAUCCAUUGAACGUUACAAGGCACGAUUGGUUGCGAAGGGAUUUACACAGAAAGAAGGCUUUGAUUAUAUGGAAACUUUCUCUCCAGUUGCCAAAGAAGUCACCGUACGGUCCUUUCUUUCCAUUUCCGCCAUUCGUGAUUGGCCUCUUCAUCAAAUGGGCGUCCACAAUGCUUUUUUACAUGGAGAUCUUGAAGAAGAGAUUUAUAUAGAUAUUCCACCGGGAUUUCGCAGACAGGGGGAGGGGAGUGUGUGCCGUCUUCGAAAAUCCCUAUAUGAGCUCAAACAGGCUUCUCGUCAAUGGUAUGCCAAGUUUACCAGUGCACUUACAACUACAAAAUUCCAGCAAUCUAAGCAUGACUAUGCUUUAUUCACAUGGAAACAAGGUAUGUCGUCAAUCUAUUUACUUAUAUAUGUUGACGAUAUACUCAUUAUGGGAAAUGAUGCGUCUGCCAUUGAGAGAUUCAAGGAGUAUCUGCAUUCUACGUUUCAUAUUAAGGAUUUGGGAUCUCCCAAAUACUUUCUCGGGAUAGAAAUUGCAAGGUCAAAAAAGGGCAUCUGCCUUAGCCAACGGAAAUUUGUCUUAGAAAUUGUGUCAAAAGCAGGUUUAUCGGGAUCUAGGCCGGCUGUUGUUCCAAUCGAUCAAAAUAUCAAGUUAACAACAGCUGAAUAUGACAAAGGGUUGUCACCUAUAAACAAGGAUCCUUUGCUUAAAGAUCCUUCUGCUUAUCAAAGACUUGUUGGAAAGCUUAUUUACUUGACCAUGACCAGGCCAGACAUUUCUUAUGCAGUUCAGACUCUUAGUCAGUUUAUGCAUGCUCCGAAACAGUCUCACAUGAAUGCGGCACUGAAAGUCAUAAAAUACUUGAAAGGGUGUCCUGGAUUGGGAAUAUUGCUAUCUCGAGACAACAAUAUGGAAAUGACAGCAUAUUGUGACACAGAUUAUGCUACUUGCCAUAUGAGUAGAAGAUCAGUCACAGGAUUCUGUAUAAAAUUAGGGGAUUCUCUAAUUUCAUGGAAGACAAAGAAACAGCCAACAGUGUCUUUAUCAUCCGCUGAGGCAGAAUACCGAGCAAUGGCAAAGACUAGUUGUGAGAUAGUUUGGAUAAGAGGCCUUCUUCAAGACCUUGGUGUACAAAUAAAGGAGCCCACUGUCCUAUUUUGUGAUAAUGAUGCUGCACUUAAGCUUGCAAUGAACCCAGUAUUCCAUGAAAGGACAAAGUAUAUAGAGGUUGAUUGUCACUUCAUUCGAGACAAGAUCCAAAGUGGGGGUGAUCAGAACAAGAGGGAUAAGAACGGCAGAGCAACCCGCGGUCAUCUUUACCAAGGCCUUAUGUCAAAGGUAACAUUCGUAUCUAUUAAACAAGCUAGGCGUCUUCGAUACUGUUGCCGAUGCCGAUUGAUCUUAAUUGAUUUUUGAUUAUAGGGAAUAUUUUAUGUACAUCUUUGGGAUAUUGUGUAUAUUUUUAUUCCUUUGUUAUUUAGACACUUUGUAUUAUAAAUAUAUUGUAAUUACAUACUGAAAGGAAUAGAGAAAAAUAGUAUACAAUUCUCCAAAUCUUCAAGUUUUCUAUUUUUCUGACAGAGGCGAAGGUGCAAUCGCGAAUGAAGGCGCUGAAAAGGCGUCGGUGUCGGGGCUUCUAGCAUCCGGCGAUGCUGGUGCGGGCAUGGAAACGCGGAAGUUGCUAGGUGCGCAAGCGAAGGCUGUUUAGGCGGUGGCGAGUGGCGACAGCAUCGGCUUGCUGUGGUAACGACGUCAAACGCUGGGUCGCGGGCUGCUGUGGUGCGGCGACGGAAGAGGACGGGUGGUUAUAGAGGUGUCGCGCGGUGCUUGCGGACGAGCGACAGGGGUGGUGUCGGCGAGCUUCACGGCGCAGACGCAAGCGAUGGGUGUGGGAGGAAGAAGAUGCACAGUGAUUCUUUCUUUUUUUUCUCUCUCCUCACCUGUCUCUCACGUCACUUCUCUCUCUCUCGCUGCACUCACGUCUCUUCUAUCUCAUUGUUUCUUUCUUUUUUUUUUCUUUUCUUGUCAGAGAAAGAAAAGAGAAACGGUUUUCUCUUUAGACGGAAAGAAAGCUUCUGAAUUUUUUCUCUCAAUUUUUCCGGUCCCCCCCCCCUUUUGGUCACGAAAAUUGUGACUCUUUUAUAGUGAUUUCCAAACAACCGUUUUCCAUGGCAACUUUCGAGUUCCAUCUUCUGUUGCAUUAAACUAAGCCUGCAAAUCGGAGCGUAAUUUCGUGAUCAACUCGAUUUUACUUGAUUCCUUUCAUUUUAUCGAAUAUUUGCCCUUUGUUUACCUGAUUUUUCAAUUGUUUUUAUAUUUAUCAAAAUCUGAAUAUUCAUUAGAAUUUCAAAUUCCCAUACAUAAUCAAUCAAAUCAAUUUUCCAUUUUUUUUUCAUUUUUUUUUCAUUUUAUUUGUUCUGAUGCAUUUUUUUUAGAGGUUAAAAUUAAUCCCUAAUUUUUAUGCAAAAAAUCAAUGACUGAGUCGCCAAAAUUUAGGUGUUAACAAUAGCAUAAUAUAUCUUUGUAUUAGCAGAAGGUGCAGUGUUAUGACAAACCGAUAAAAUAGAAAUUUAUGUUAUCAUUUACCAUAUAAACAUAGUUUAUAGCAUGCCUUUUAGUUGUUACUCAGGAUAUUUGAGUUCAGAACCUCAUUAAAGAGUUGAUCAUAUUUGAUAUUAUAAAUAAACUCAUACGAUUGUGUCGAGACAAUAACUCUUCGGUAUUGUUUGUCAACAACAAUAAGAGUCUCGAGGGGUCUCGAUAUAUAACGGUCAAGUUUUUGACCAUAACAAAAUGAUACAGAAUGGUGAUAUUACAGUAGAGCAUGUUUCCACAAAUGGUGUGGUUGUAGACCCGCUAAUUAAUGUAUUUUGCCCUUGUGUACCUAAGCAACAUGUCAUGACAUGGGUUAAGGAGGAUCAUUGGAUGCUGUUAUUUAGUGGAAGUUGUUUUGAUUUUGCUCUAAUAAAGCUUAUAUGCGUUGCACAUUCAAUAAAGUGUUCAUGAAUGUGUGGUUACCAUAUUGAUUUGGUUAUAUGUAAUGAAAAUCUCAAAGUAUUGUGUAAGCCUUAAGUAAAGGCUAAGGGCAUCUAAUAAUCAGCCUUGAACAUAUGUCUUGAUUACACAUAAAGAAAAGUUAACCAUAAAGAUAAGACAUAUGUGGGUUCAUUAGAACCAUAAGGAUAUUCUCUAGUGGCACAUCCGGUUUUCUGUGACACUUAAGGUAAGAGAAUAGUGACCGACAAGGGAGAUAACACAUAAGGUAUUGCUCUUCAUGAGGUGUUAUUCAUUUGCCACACAACCAUAUUCAAUCCAUAUUAAUAAAGUUGAAAGCAUUCGUAACCAUGGAAGACUCUGUAUGAAUACAUGCAGUUACCGCCAUGAUUCGGUAUUUGAGACUUUAUGGGAUAUGAUUGAUUAUUAAGAAUUGCCACUAGACCAACAUAAAUGUGCGCGCAUAAAGUACAGUCUCAAUUAAUAUAGCUCAAGUGGGAGAAUAUAAGAAUUUUCCUUAUGUGAACUAUAUUAAUUGAGAUUGUAAUUACUGUUUUACGGGGUUGGUCUAAUAAGGUAACGUAUAAGGUUUUCUUAAUGGUCGAAUAUAGGUCUGGCAUUGUGUGGGUCGAGUUGGGCCUGACCCGUGAUGAGAGAACCCGUUCAAAACUCUAUAAAUAGCGCUAAGGUCCAUCCUCUAACCCUGAUUCUUCCACAAACUCUCUCUCUCUCUCUCUCUCUCUCUCUCUCUCUCACCUCACAUAAGGCAAGCUGUGAGUUGUGAGUGGCGGUCUCAUCGAGCCAGGAACCGAGGGUCAUAGAGGAGAAGAACCUAAGCAUUGGCUCGUCGUUUGAGCAUUGGAUCGUCGUCAUUCCGCAUAAAGAACGUUGGAUUCCAAAUCAGGUACGCAAACCUUUGAAUUCUCCUCCUACAUGUUCGGUUUUCUAGCUACCUCAAUCUUGGGAAGCUGCUUUGACGGCCAACAAACAAGUCUUUAGCAUCUAGAUCACCUACUCUGCUUUCUUUAAAAGAUGAAGUGUCGCGAAAAAUUGGCAGUUCCACUGGUUCUUAGGCAUACUAAUUGAUGACUAUGGUUUAGAUGGUUUGAUUUGGACAAAGGGGCGGCGCCUAAUCUGAAAACGUUUCUUCACUACCAAGCUAGGAAUAUCACCUAGCUAUAUCCAUCAAUAAAUAUCAGCACGCCAACCCCCAAAAGGACAACAGUCGAGACACGUUCACAAGGAUCGAUCCCCAGUCAAGUUUCUCAACGAACUAGCAUAUGCCCAUCUUUUUUUUUUAUGGGGAUUUAGCUAAUUCUUCAAUUCAUGCACAUGCAGAUGAACUUGAGCAUGUGACUUUUGAACGAAUCAAAUGGGCCAAGUUCAGAAAGUGAAGAGGAACAUAGCAAAUAGUAAUCAAUAGGGCCUCAUUGAUAAGUGCUACAAGAUCUCAUACAUUGGAACCCAUGGUUAUGCACCCCGAUUCAUUGGUGGUGUGACAUCCAGAUUUUUGGACUCUGAUUUUGAUUAGAUAAAUUGGGUAUUUUAUUGAUGCGAUUACAGUGUUUUCCUCUGAGUUGGCUACUCACGAGAUAACUAGACUAGCUGGGUAAGCUAUUAAGAACUUUAAGGCAGAUAGACUUGAGAAUUCGACCAAAAAUUGAUUUCUUGACCGUGCUCAUCUUUAGAAAUCAUUAUGGUACAGUUAAAAAUCGAAUUAAGAUAAUAGGUUGGUUCGACUGAGAUGUGUGACCGAUCGUGGGUGACUCCACUAAAUUGGAAAACUCUCGUCGACCAACACUAAUUUGAUUUUACUGUCGUUUUGGUACCAUGUGUCCAUAUUUGAAUCCUUGAGAUUUUCACGACAACCGAAAGUCGCCAAUGUGUCGAGUGGGUUCAUCGUGGCCUGAAGAAAAUCAACCACGGGUCAUUUGUCCUAAAAAGUUCUGAAAACUACCAGAUAACCUAGGUCACGCUAAAAACGCGCCCGAGUGAAAUUAACUGUCAAUUUGAGUCCGAUUUCAGAAAUUGAAGAUUCUGUCUUGUCAUAAUAAAUUUUAGGAACAUCGACUCAGUCUCAGAAGAUUUUUUUGACAAUCGAGACUUUUUGGGAAAAAGUCGUUGCCGGGUCAUUUUUGUGCAGAAAAGGCUGAAGAUGGUUUCGAUCGCAAAAUUGAAAUACAAGAUGGGUUAUUGGAUGAGGAAAAGUAGCAAUUUAGACAUUGAGGCGUUGGUUGAUUUUAUGGAGGCCAAUUGAGAUGGAUUUGAUGUGGAUCAAGUGGCCAAUUGAAGCCAAUUCUUACAAAUUCGUACCCUCCCUUAAGCCUAGCAAAAUUGGACCAUUUGAGGAGUUGUGUGGUGUGUUUAUGUGGCCAAAUUGUAGCCAAGUGAUGAAACUUCUUGGGCAAGGUUUGGAAGCAUAUUUUUGUGGAAAAAGUGGGCUUGGUGGAGCCCCUUACCUCUCAUCUCUAUCCAUCUCUCUUUCCCUUAUCCUCUCCAUCAUGCUGCCAUGAGCUGCUUCUCCAUCAUUCUUCCCCCCCCCCCCCCCCCAAUUGGUGCGACAAUUCCGGCAGCAGCACGGAAGAAGACCGAGCGGAGCCCCCACCCAAUCUCUCUCUCUGUGUGCUGCAGUUCAAGACGUCCCAGGUCUGCCCCAUCUCACGCUCCACAGCAGCAAAGAAGUCCGCAAAAGUAGGAGCAGCCCAUGUCUCCGCCUUCAUCGGUCUCUCCUCCCCUCAACUGCCACCUGCCGACUUCUUGGCUUGCUUCGGUCAACAGCAGCAACAACCGAAGCUCCUUGGUUGACCACAAAAGCCCACGCCCGUGCAUGGAUCCACCGCCAACGACAGCCUUAGCUCCUCUCGCUCCCAGCUUUUGUUGAAGCCAUGACUGCCCACAUCUCGGUCAAAUUUCCCAUCGAGUGAAGCUCUUUGGUUGACCGAGCAGCCUUUCUUUGCUACCACUUGGCCGCAUCUGCCUCUCCUUCGGUCAACAAGCGAACACUGAAGACCACCGAGGAAGCCUGCGUCCGUUCGCGAGAAAUUGUCCCCAAAUUUGGUCGGCCACCGAGUCAGCCGAGUUAGGCCAGCGAAGCAGCAUCCACCGAGCAGCUUCCAUCUUCGUCGUGUCUUCAUUUCCACGUAGGCUUCUUCAGCAACAACAACCUAGCGAAGCCACGUUUCUUCUCUUGCGCAUCUCUGGCCCGUUGAAGUGUCGAAGCCCAGCAGCUCUGUGAUUCCUCAAUUGGGCAGCCACGCACGUUCAGCCCAUUUGGGCCGCAAGUCAGGCCCAACGAAUUCAGCUCUUCAGUUGGCAGCCCUUGCUACUUCUUGCUCGGCCCAAAUAUGCAAUCUUCAAGCCUAGUCCAACAGAUUCUUUUAAUUGUUUGGUCCAACAGCCCAAGAAGCUAGCGAAGCCCAGUGAAUUUCGGCCCAAGCCCAAGAGCGAGUUCAGCCCAAAGUAAAGAACAAAUCUCAGUUGGGCUGAGAUUUGUUGGGCCCAAGCUUAAGGCCCGGUCCAAGUCUGCUGGUGUCGUCGAAAGCCCGAUUUCGGCCGCCGUCGCGCAAUCGUCUCGGUGACCCAGUCUCCGCUUUUAAUCAUGUGAGUUUUGCUCACUAAUGCCUUCUUAGUUUGCUAAUUAUACUUAAAGAUUGAUUAGUGCUAGUUAAGUGUAAUUAGGUGGUUAGAUUAGAAUGGAUUAGCGAUUAUUAGUUGAUUGCAUUGCAUAUUAGUUAGACGAUUAGUAUAUUUAGAUAGAUAAUUGCCUAUAGUACUUAUUGGACAUUUCUUGGGAUUUUUCCCGACCCUUAUCGAGUGUUAAUUAGGCAAUUCAGGCCUAAGUGGAAUUUUUAGGAAUUAAAUAUUAAUUUUCGAAAUUAAUUAUUUAAUUAUUUAUUUUCCGGAAAUUUAAUCAAGAUGGCCGGUGACCGGAAUUUUAUGAUGAUGAUUGUGGUGUAGUUUGUUUAUUUAAUUGAGCUUUAGAUGGUGCUAAAUUGAAUUUAUUGUAUUUAUUUAUUUAAUUAUUUAUUUUUCAGAAAUUCAACCGGGAUGGUUGGUGACCGGAAUUUCAUGCUGAUUUUCGUGGUGUAGUUCGUUUAUUUAUUCGAGCCUUAAUUUGUGAGAAAUUGAUUUAUUAGUGAUUUUAGGAUUUAUUCCUAAAUUGAAUAAUCUUUGGUUAUUAAUUGAGAAUAAUUGGGCAUCGGUUGAUAAUGCCACUAAAUCUAAAUUUGCCGAGUGGGGCCGUGAUGUCACUAAAUCUAAGAAAAUUGCUUGGUGGGGCCGUAAUUACCACUUAUAAUUAAGUUGUGUCCUAAGGACCGUGAUUCAUAAUUGGGAAUUGAAUUGGAAUAGUUGAAAUGACUGGAAGUUGUCUUGUUGAUAUGUAAUCGAUUAGGUUGAUUGAUCGUUGCCUUGAUUUGAUGUUGUGGACUGAUCGAUAGAAUGGAAAUGAUCAGUGAAUGAUUCGAUUGAGACAUAAUCGACUAAGUCGAUUUGAUCGAUGCUUCGAUCUGUAAUGUGAUUGCUUAGGUGCCUAUUUGAUAUGUGCUAAUAUGCAGGUGGAAUCUGAGGCCAAGGUAAGUCCUCUAACUCGUGUUGUGUAUAAGCAGCCCUAAGGUGUAUUAAUUUACUAAUUGGGUCUUAGGGGGUAGAACUUGCUGAGACGUGGUAUCAAUGGUUAUUGAAUAACCAUUUCAGGACCUGGAUGAGGAGCCUAAGGAGGAGGAAUCUGACGAGGAGAUCCCUGUUGAGGAACCCGAAGAGGAGUACGUGGAGGAGGACCCCAAGGAUGACCCCGAGUACGACCUGGAUGAGGACUGAGAUCCCGUCCUGUCUUGUCAAACCUUGUCUGCAUGUGAAUAGAUGUUAGAUCAGACUUACGUAUAUAUAGUAUUGUAGAAUACUAUGAGAUGCGUAUAAAAAUGUGUGGUUGUGAAUUUUCAGUAUGAAAAAUAUAUGGCCUGCUUUUCUAUCACGUUGUUUUAUUAUCUAGGGAUUUAUAACUACUUCCGCAUGUGUAUAUAUAAAUGAAAGGGUCGGCGAUACAUAGUCCUGAGAUAUCGCAUUUUAAAAUCGACCGAAAGUAAGGGAUGUGGCGUGCCUGAGGAUCGGGGCGUGACAGGUGAAAUUCUUACUGAACAUAUCCUUGCUCAAAUUACAAUCCUAAUUUUUAGAACCACUUGCAACGGUUAACAACAGUUGUAAAGAAAGCAAACAACAUCCUUCGUGACUACUAGAGUUCGGCAACAUGUAGCAACAUGUGCUCACAAACGGGUUCUCAAAGAUCCAGUGCUUGAUAGUCAUUGCUUCAUCACUCACCUCAUGUCGACAGUUCCGUCCGCAGCUUACAUCCACUCUUCCUGACGGGUGUAAUAGCCCAUGUUUCUCGGCCAUUAUCAGUCAUGGCUUUCGGGAUUUAUAGGUCUACCAUCUUGUAAUCGUGCUGGCUCCACGAUUGAAUGGGUUGUUAUGAUUGAAGCAGAAAUAAUGGGCUUCAUGAGUCGAACACUUACCUCGCUCUUGAUUCAUUCAUCUUCGCUUCGACUUCGGUACUUUUGUUGACUGAACCAAAAUCUCACUAACCGACACUCCGUGGCUUAAUACCUAGUAAUUUUCUCUUAUAUCUCUUAUAUUAUUUGAUUUCUGAGGGAGGAAUAAACUUGGAUUCUUGUGUAUUUGUGAAGUAAUAACUCCGGUUUUGAGGGCCGAGUUGUGAUAUUGAGCUAUUCUUUUAUUUGAUCACGUAAUAAAUUGAGACAUAAUCGUGUGAAUUUUCUUGGCCACUCCUUCAUUGAACCAGAUUUUCCCUGUUUCAUUUGUUUUAUCGGUCUUCUCUCUUUUCUGUACAGUAAGUUGAGACGCGAGUGCGUUUGAGCAGUUAGAGAUGGCUCGCGGCAGCACUUGUUGUCCUAAGAUCCUGAACCUCCCGUUCACGUCAGCCUUCAGGGUUCUUGUGAGUGAGUGCAUUUGAUCCAUUGUUUCGGGCCACCUGCUGCAGUUCUUCUCUGGUGAUCUAAUCUACUUUCACAUUUAAAAGCUGUAUAUAAAGGAAGUCUCGAUAUGAGCACUCGGAUACGUGCUUGGUAAUGGGAGAUAGAGACUGCAGCUUAUCGAAGGAACAGUAGGACUGAAAUAUGCAUCUACAGUCGACGCAGGUCCUGGAAAAAUUGGUGAAUGUGAGUUUGUGCAUGAGACCUGCUAAUGAGUCACGUGAUAAGCCAUAUCUUAGAGUACCUGCACGACUCUUACAAAUAAAAGUAUAAAAAAAAGUUGACAACUUUUGCUAUCCCAGCCCAUCUCUUCCGGUUGGAUCUUCUCCACAGCUCCUCGCCGCCACUGGACUCACCCCUCUCUACCAAACCCUUUCGCACUCUGAAUACUUGCAAAGCUUCUAAAACCGCAAGCUUGAUGAUGUGGUUCCUAUCAUCAAGACCCUCAAGCUGUAGCUGAUGCAUUCAUUCAUUUCCUCUUCUUCUUGUAUUCUGUGUCAUGAAUAUGAAUUCAGGUCGUUCCACCUAUUUUCACAUUUCGUUUACUCCAUAGAGGACUAUUAGGAUGUGAAUCGUGACGACAGCAGAUCAAACAACUGAUCCAAGUCAUUUCAUGAUUUUAUCCUGAACUAGCAUUUUUCUUGUAUGGUCCACAAUCGCAGUGCUUUAGAAACUAUUUUACAUAUCAAUUGCCCGGCUGACGUGGUGUGAUGAGCGAAUCACGAUACUCGCAUAGUAUGAAUCUUAACGACCUUUAUCAACAAAUUUUGACAAAUCUUGUCAUUGAUUAGCUUGGUGCUUUACUCGUCACUGCCACAUGAGACAAUUGAUGAACAAAAUACCGUCUCCAUAGCAUGAUCAACGCAUUAAUAUAGAAGUCUCCCCUCUCAUCAAAUUUAUCUCUAGUAAGAUUGAGUAAAAGUACAAUCUAAUUUCCAAGCUUAACCAAUAGUUGAUGGAAUAUUACAGCUGCAAGUUCUGACGAUAGAACUCAAUCUCUUAGUCAAGACUAUAAGAAUUUCGAAUCUGAUCUCUUUAAAGUACGAUAGUGUAAGACCAAGGCCAAAUGUUCCGGAGUUUAAUGCUUCCUUCUAUUGUGCAUCCCGCACAUAUUGGACUCUAAGAGCACUGAUGUUGGCAGAUGCAAAGGAAGAUAUUUGCUUGUACUUCAAAUAAGACAUUAGAAGUCCUAGGUUUUAGGAGGAUCUGAGUGAGGUGCUGAAUUUUCAUUGUGAAGACGCUGCUCUAAGAAGCGUUUCAGUUGCCUUCCCUGUUCUUCAAUAUUCAUCUGUAGACUCCUCUGCAUCUGUACGGUUAAGGAGGAUGAAAUUAAAACUUGCUUUCAUAUCAUUGUUUUCAUGUGGAGACUUCUGAAAGUUCAGAUGUGUGUGUGUGUCAAUGUGACAGAAGGUGACUUUUGCAGAAUAGCAACCUCCAACUGUUGAAGUAGUCGCUUUUGUACAUUCAACUGCAUCUGCAAGAUUCUAUAAUAAGCUUCUGCAAUCAGCUUGCCUCAGUUGCCAACAAAUAUUCAAUGGGCUUAGUUUCCUCAUAUCAUGAAUUCCUACUUUAAGGCAGAUGGUGGACAUUUGAAGGAUGCAAUCCUCUCAUAAAUAGUGCUUAUUUUGUGCUCUUCUUAAGUCUGUACACUGAGUUAAUAAACAACAAACAAGUCAAAGCUUACAUUUUGAGGUCGUGCACUGGUUUUGUGUCAAAAUUGUUCUUCUCUGAUUUUCCUGCAUGUACAAUAUGAUUCAUGCACAUAAAAUAAGCUGUCCUAUUGCCAAACAAAGACUGGUUACACUUGGAUUUGUCUUCAAUAAUAACAGAGUUCCUGUCUCUUGCAAGGAAUGUUCAUUUGUGCUUAUCGUAGUGGAUGCAAAGAACAACCUUCUUUAGAUUCUGCAAUGCACUUCGCGAUGCGACAUUUCUUUAAUGCAAUAGACAAACAAAGUUUUGGUUUGAAUUUCUGUGACAAAAUGUUAAGUAUGGGCAUUGAUUUUCAGCUAAUAGAUGAAAAGUCAUUAUGUUGCAGUACCUGCAAGUGACUCUUAAUAUGAAAGAUUUUUACCCCCUCGACAUCCAUCAGCUUCAAAAUUAACUUUGGUUUUGCUCCUGUGCCUGUCCAAUAAAUGGUGACUUGGACGUCAGUUGAAGUUAAUAUAGACAUUGACUCGAAAGUGACAUUCUCUAUCCAUUACUUACUUCCAGCUCCUCCCAGACGAUUUACCCAUUCAUGGAAUUGGUUGUGGAGAUGCUGAGUCCAUCUAAUUCUUCUUUUACUAGAAAUAGCAGCUGCUGGUAAAAUGGAGUUUCCACGAGGAUCAUCAUGGGACUGAGGAGCAAGGCACUGCAGGUCUUCUGAAUGAUCAUAAACCAAUGAUUCGCAAUUUAUUGAUCUUGACUGCUGUAAAUUACAUGUAAAUAGGUUACAAGCAUCUAAAUCAACUUGCGGACGGCCAAUGGAACAUGUAACUGCAGUAGGAACAGAAGGAGAAGAUGUGUUAUUGCUUGACUUGUUGUCCGUUGUAUAGAGUUCACUUCUACCUAGAUUUGAGGCAAAACAGCUUUGGCUGUAUCCUAAUUGUGACGCUGGUGAUUGACCACGCCAAAACUGAUGAAAGCAAAGCUCAGAGGAUGUACAGGGGCUCUGUUCUUGAUCAUUACUUUUUGCGGUGCUCAUAUUAGCGCUAUUGCUGCCAGAGGUUUCUUUCUUCAUCACCAUAUGCUGCGAAAAAUAUGGUUCACAAGACUCAUCUCGGCAGUGGAUUGGUAGAUGAGAGGCACAAUGAAAUAAAAAGCUACAGAGUUAUAAUUGUUGGACUUUAGGGAUCAUGAGGCAUACAAAAUGCCUUUCUUGAUCAACAGGAGUAAAGAGAGAGUCUUGCGAUGAACUUCAAGUGGAGAUUAUCAGGGCCAAGGUCGUCAGACGAUGACAGAUCAAUGGUACACCCAAAAGCCAAAGCCCAAUAAUCAUUUGGAGAAAAGUGUCUAUUAAGACAGACAAUUUGCCUAUUAUAUUAUAUUUUUAGUAUAGAUACUCAAGAUAACCCGUGAAUACUGAAUGAUUUGGAUGUGGACACUCUAUACAAUGAACCAUGAUGAGCCCACAAUUCCCGUUUGGUUUGGCAUUUGGAAGGGGCUUUUGCACUCCAAAGGGAUUUGGCUAAAUUUAAACACAUUUGGUUUAAUUUUUUGGACGACUUUGGCAAGAUGUAAUUGCAUCUUCAAAUAGCUUUGGAGGCACUUUAGGAAGUUACAUCUUCAGAAUGCAAGACCCACGGUACUGUUCAUAUUCUUUGGAGAAAUGAACGGAGGCCAACGACCACCGGCCAAGGAUUGGCCGACUUUGGUGACUGUCGCCCAGGGGUUGCGGCCACCUGGCGAUCGUCACUUGGGUCGCGCGACCUUAGGCCGUGGUCGCUUGAGUUCGCGCGACCCAAGCGAUAGUGGCUUGAGGUCAUCGGACCUCAGGCGACGCCUAGGUCGCGCGACCCAAGCGAUGACCGUGUGACCCAGGCAACGACGGCCUAGGUCGCGAACCCCAGGCAUCGCUUGAGGUCCAAUGGCAUCAGGCAACCAUUGCUUAGGUCACACAAACCUAGGCAACCACCGUCUGAGGUCGCUGGGUCACAACCCUAGGCAAGGCUAUCCGGUGGCCAUAUCUAGCCGUCGAACAUUAGCCGCCAGUGGAUAAAUUAAAAAAAAAAAAAACUUUUUUUAUAUAUAAAACUUAGCAAAAGUCUUUUAUAAAAUGUAGUUUUUACCAAACGAUGUUUAAACUAAAAUCGUUUCAUAAUGUACUUUAAAAUUAUAAUUUACUAAAUGCUAUUUGCAUUUUCACAAAUUUUUUUAGCUCAAAGAUAUUUAUAUUUUUCCAAUCACAUUUGCCCGGAGAAGAAGAAGCAAACAGGCCAAUGACCCAAAUACGUCAUUCCAACAGCGCGGGCUUCACACUCUCUCUCUUUCUCUCCGCACACGUCACGCUAUUCUACAUUGACUUGUUGACUUGACGAGUUGUCAUUUUCCACGUACUGCCAUCUUAUCUCGGAUUUUUGAACCGCUUAAAAGGGUUUUGAAUGUUGUAAGCGCGGGCCAGGCAUAUGAACAAAGUGUCUACAUAAGCAUGAGAAAGAAUUUUAUACAUAAUCAAGUGUUCACGCAUUAAUCACAUGCUAAGCAUAAUGCUAAUAUAGAUAUCAACUAAACAAAAUUGGAGACUGCCACGGAGUGGCUGUACAUAUACCCAAAGGGUAUCAGAGAGUUGAUGCAUAUGUGAAGAAAAACUAUCAGGAUCCGACCAUUUAUGUGACCGAAAAUGAUAAAUAAAUAUAUUUACGUCAUUAACGGUGACUUUGCUUGGGUUGACAGGUCACCUAGUAAUUUGCCUUCUAUGCAUUAUUUUGUCCAACCAUAGGAAUGACAGAUGCAAAUAACAAAUCGUUGCCGCUUGAAGAUGCAUUUACAAAUAAAUUGAGAAUAAGUUACUUUCAGCUGCAUCUCUCAAAUCUCUCCAAAGCUAUUGAGUAAGUAAUUCGAUAUCAGUAUUAGGUAUGCAUAGAUGGUAAACAAUGAUGAUAUUUGAUAAAAAGUACCAUACACACGAAUUCGUUGUUGACAGGGAAGGAGUGAAUGUAAAAGGAUACUUUGCGUGGAGUUUCCUAGACGACUUCGAGUGGGUGGAGGGUUAUACAACCCGAUAUGGCCUCGUUUUCGUGGAUUAUGGGAAUGAACUGAAACGAUACAUGAAGCACUCGGCAUGUUGGUUCCAAAGUUUCCUACAAAAGGAUAAUGCAACCGUUAACUACUCCUUGCGGAGCGAUGCCUAGCAGAAGUCACUAAAGCCCAAAUCCGCAAGUCUCUUCCUCGCUGCUGCGUUUCCAAACCCCGUAGUCCCUUUUGGAUAUUAUAUGUACUGAUGUUCAGUUGGGCUGCUCCUCUCCUUCUCUUUUCCUACUUAAAUGAAAUAGAAGGAUGCAUUUUACACCCAAAAAGAAAAAAUUCAAGACAUCAAGAAUUGCAGGAAGCCCGUCAGUUUGAAGAAUAUCCUUUAGAUUAGGUUUUGUCUGAAUGUGAAUUUCAAAUUCGAAUAAAAUUAGAUUUCCUAAUAUCAUUACUUGUCUUUGAUUCCAAUAAAUAAACAAAAUUCAAUAUGUAUGGCAACUUAAUUGAACCAUGGAAUUAGGAAAAUAAUUUGGACUUUUAACUUCUUAGAGAUAUCAAUGAGAUAUUCAUAAAAGGAAAGCUUACUCCUUAAAAAGAAAAAAAAAUGGAACCCUGUUGGAUUUAUAUCUUUUUAGACUAAAAAAUUAUGUUAAGUUCUUCCAAAUUAUGAAAAAAUCACCACAUUUUAAUUUUUAAAAGAAGUUGAUUUUUUAAAUAUUUUUAUGGAUUCAAGGUGUUCAAUACUGAUAAACAUCUUAACUAAACCCCAAAAGAUAAAGAUAGCCAUUGAAUGCUAGAGGCCGAUUAUUUUCAAAGCAAAUAAUAUUUGAUUGAGUAAAUUAUUACAUGUAUGGAGCUGGGUAUGUUCAUAAACUAGUUCAUCUAAACUCUAAGACAUAAAGUUUCAGGAAUAUUCUUCCUAGGUGGAAGACAAAAUUCACCUAGAAACGAGGGAGGCUUUCGGUGGAAAGAUAGAUUCCCCCGUCUCUUAGUCCUCAUUGGGAUGCGGCAAUUAUUUUCAAGGCAAAUUAUAUUUGGUUAAGUAAAUUAUCACGUGCAAGAACCUAAGUAUAUUCAUAAACUAUUUCAUUUGAACUUGUGACGUAAAAUUUUGGAAGUAUUCUUCCUAGAUGGAAGACAAAAUUCACCUAGGAAUAGGGAGCCCUCAGGGAAGGUAGACUCCUCUGUCUUCUAGUCUCACCUAGGUGCGAUGAUUAUUUUUAAGGCAAAUAAUAUCUGAUUGCGUAAAUUUUUACUUGCUGAGGAGGAUUGCUCCUACAAUUCGAAAACCUUGUAUUUGACGCACGAGACUCCGAUAUGGCGAGAGCGACGCUCCUAGAGCAAACAAUAAAAGUUCUUAUCUUGGACAAUGACACCAUUUUUUUCCAGUGCCAAGGAUUCGAAACCAAGUCUACCCCAACUCUGUAACACUAGCUAGUUGCGGGGCCCGCACUUUGUAUGGGCAUGUCAAUAAUCUACUUUUAAAUGUGAUUUUUUUUUGUAUAUAUUAUUUAAGGUUGUAAUCACUGAUGGUAAGAAAUACCAAAUAAAAGACAUUAUUCGAUUGAAAAUAGAAAAUGCGGCUUGAAAGUUUAAAUUCAAUGUUUGCAUAAUAGAUGUGUCGUAAAUGGAUCCAAAAAAGAAGAUUUUGAAAAUGAUUAGCUUCUUCACAAAUUUAAAUUCUAUUUCAUUUUUAAGAGUAUAUAAUUUUCGCUAUUCUACGUUCAUGUUCUUCAAAAUAUCACUUUUAACCAAUCUUUUGAAGGUCUACAGUAAAUCUCCACAUUCUCUUGUUAUUCUAUUCAAACUCUAUUUGAAUUGUAGUGUCUUAAAUAAUCCAUUUAUCAACAAACUAAUAUAUCCAACCCAUCUGUGGGCAGCCGCAUUGGUAUUCGUUCUUCCCUACUUUGAUGCGGUUGAGAGUUCGAAUCCCCGCGGCGCUAGCGAUUUAAGUGGAUGCCCCUAGUGGUGGGUUGCUAGGCUAGCUUCUCCCAAGGUAUAAUCUUUGUUGGGCCUCCACCACGAAGGCCCGUGAGACUCCGAAUCGAUGUAAGCUGAUAAGGGCAUGCUUCGGCGGAUCCUCGGUUACAUAUAUAUAUCCAAGCUUACAAUGAUUCUUCUUGUUGUAAAAUAUUACAUUGCAAAUAUGUAAUAUAGAGAAUAAAAAGAUUAAGGAGAGAAAGUAGGUAAACACCAAAGAUAAUAGAGAAAGUCAGAGGAGAAUAUUUUAUUUCCAAUAUAUCACUGUUUAAGUCUACAACAAAAAUUAAGCUCCUUUUUAUAGGAAAACAAGAAUAUACUUAUCAUUAAUAUCAAUGUAUUGAAUAGUACAUGCAUUGUAUAGGGAGAUGAACAUUCAUUGUAUAGGGAGAUACACUUAGAAUGUAUUAUACAAAUGUACCAUAAUAAUUAUAUUAAAUAAAAUGAAUAUAAUAAAUAUUCAUGCAUGUAUUUCAUAACACUUCCCUUUGAAUAUUCAUUGUAUUCAUUACGAAUGUGCAUCGAAUGAUACUGUCUUAUUAAAAACCUUAAGCCGGAAAAACCCAAUGGGACAAAAACCGGACAAAAGGAAAAAAGAGUGUAGAGCACAAAUUUUAUGAUCUCUCAUUUUUAUGAAUGUAUUAAUUGUCUCGUUAAAAACUUUAAACCGAAAAAACCCUGUGGGAAAAAACCGGACAAAAAGAAAAAAGAGUGCAAUACAUAAUUCAUAAUAUAUCCUCCUCAAUUGAACCAUAUAGCCACUGCUGAGACUAAUUAUUCUUGCUUCUUGUGAACUCGCCGCAUAUCAAUGCCAUAUACUAAUUUCUUAAAAGUUGAUGUUGGCAAUGAUUUGGUAAAAAGAUCUGCCAUAUUAUUUAUGGAUCGAAUCUGUUUAACAUUAAUUUGUCGACUUUCUUGGAGUUUAUGAGUAUAUAAAUUUUUUGGCAAGAUAUGCUUGGUUCUAUCACCUUUGAUAUAUCCUCCCCUAACUUGUGCAACACAAGCAGCAUUAUUUUCAUAAAUUAUAGUGAGAGGAUUUGUAACCGGUAUCAAACAACAAGAAUUAUGAAUAUGCAUUAUAACGGAUCUUAACCAAACACACUCUCUUCCAGUUUCAUAUAAAACAAUAAUCUCAUAGUGGUUAGAGGAUAUAGCUACUAGCAAUUGUUUCGUAGAACGUCAAGAAAUAGCGAUGCCGUUAUAACAAAAUAAAUAACCAGUUUGAGAGUGAGUUUUAUGUGGAUCAGAUCUAUAUCCAGCAUCAAUGUAUCCAACUAAACUAGAGUUAGUGGAAUCAUUGGAAUAAUAUAAUCCAAAAUCUAUGGUUCCUCACAGAUAACGGAAAAUAUGUUUAACUCCAUUCUAGUGUCUCCAAGUUGGCUCAGCAUUAAAACGUGCCAAUAAAUUUACCACAAAAGCGAUAUAUGGUCUCGUACACUGUGCCAAAUACAUCAAAGCUCCAAUUGCAUUGAGAUAUGAUACUUCAGGACCAAAUAUCUCUUCAUCAAAUUCUUUAGGACGAAAUGGGUCAUUUUGGGGAUCUAGAGACCUUACAACCAUAGGGGUGCUCAAUUGGUGAACUUUGUCCAUGUUGAAGCGUUUAAGCAAUCUUUCAACGUAUGAUGAUUGAUUAAUGAUUAUUCUAUUUGCUUUAUGCUCAAGCUCUAGACCAAAACAAAGUUUGAUUUUACCCAAAUCUUUAACUUCAAACUCUAUUUUCAAAUACUCGGCAGUUUUAGCUAACUCUUUUGGAAUUCCAAUUAAAUUUAUAUCGUCGACAUAAACUACUACAAUAGCAAAUCCGGUUUUUGAUUUCUUAAUAAACACGAAUGGGCAAAUAAGAUCAUUCUUGUACCUUUUCUUAAUUAGGUACUCACUUAAGCGUUAAUACCACAUACGACCAGAUUGCUUUAACCCGUACAAUGAUCUUUGUAAUAUUAUUGAGAAUAAAUUGCGGGGAGUGCAUGCUUCAGGCAUUUUGAAUUCCUCAGGAAUUUUCAUAUAAAUAUCAAAAUUUAAUGAGCCAUAUAAAUAUGCCGUCACAACGUUCAUAAGACGCAUUUCCAAUAUUUUAGAGAUUACUUGGCUAAUGAAAAAACGAAAUGUAAUCAUAUCCAUCACAUGUGAAUAUGUCUCAAUAUAAUCAAUCGCAUGUCUCUAGGAGAAUCCUUGGGCAAUGAGUCGGGCUUUAUACCUAACAACAAAUACCCAUUUGUAUCCAACGGGCUUUAUAUUAUCAAGGAUACAAAUUACAGGUCCAAAAACCUCUCAUUUAGAUAGGAAAGCUAAUUCAACCUUAAUUACUUCAUCCCACUUAGGCCAAUCUUGCCUUUGACGGCAUUUAAUAAUAGAUUGUGGCUUACAAUCAUCAUUCAUAAUUUUAUGAGUAACUGAAAAUGCAAAAGUAUCAUCAAUGAUAAUUUCAUUUUGAUCCCAAAUUUCAUUAUAAUAUGUAAUGGAAUUCUCAGUAGUCCCGGGGUAGGUGUUCCUUUCAUGGGUUUGCACAUUUUCGUUUUCGAUGAGCAGUAUCUUUUGAUCCUAUUGAUCUACCACACUUUAAGUGUGGGAGAUUUUGAUCCAUUUUAGCCUGUCCUUCGGGACCAGCUAUCCUAGCCGGAGCAUUUACAGUUGGAAUAUGAGAUUUUGUUAUUUUAAAUGUGUCAAGAAGUCUAUUGGCCAUAACCUAUAAAUGGAUUAUGUGCUACAUCUCGUUUCACACUCAAAAGUCCUUGGAUCUAAUUGAAAUAAAUUUUUCUCAUUUCAGAAGAAAACCUUAAUUGGUUUUUUUCUUGCAGUCAUGGUAGUUGUAGGUAUCUCAAUUGAUGAAAACCUAGUCUCAUCAAAAUAACAAUUUACAAAUCUGGUAGUAUAAAGAUCACCGGUAGUUGGUUUCAAGAACCUAAUAAUAGAUGGUGAAUUAAAUCCAACAUAAAUGCCCAAACAGUGGUGGGGACCAUUUUCGUUCUUUGUAGCGAUUCUACAGACACCUGUACUGCACAAGCAAAGGUUCGUAAAUGUGAAAUAUUUUGUUCAUAACCAAGAACCAUUUGAAUGGAAGAUUGUAAAAGACUAGCAAUAGAACGUAAUCUUAUUAAAGCUGUCACAUGCAAAACUGCAUGACCCCAUGCUGUAUCAUUGAGAUUUGUUCUCAAUAAUAGAGUGCGAGCAAUAAUUUGGAUAUAAUUAGUCAAGAAUUCUGCCAAUUCAUUUUGAAUAUGAAUAUAUGCAACUAGGUGCUUAACCUCGAUUACAAAUGAAGCGCAAUAGGUAUCAAAACUCUUUGAUGUAAAUUCACCAGCAUUAUCCAUAUUUAUACUCUUAAUUGGAUAAUCAGGGAAUUGUGCCCGAAGCUUUAUAAUCCGCGCAAAUAAACGUGCAAAUAUGACAUUAAGCGUAGAUAAUAGGCAAACAUGCGACCAUUUACAAGAUGCGUCCACUAGUACCAUAAAUUAUCGAAAUGGUCUAGUUGGUGGUUGUAUUGGUCCACAAAUGUCACCCUAAAUUUUUUGCAAGAAUAAAGGGGAUUUAAGAUUAACCUUUGUUAUAGAAAGUUUGAUAAUGAGCUUUCCUUGUGAACAAGCCUCACAAUUAUAAUCUUUGGACAACAAUACAUUUAUAUCAUUUAAAGGGUGCCCUUUUAUAUUUUGAAUUAUUGUACGCAUCAUUGAAGCGUCAGAGUGACUAAGGCCAUCAUGCCACAAUCCAAACUGAUCAAAAUUUACCAAUCUCCAGGAUGUUGUGGCGUAGGUUUCAACAUCCUUAAUCAUGACACAAUACAAACUCAUAGAAGAAGCUUCUAACUUCUCAUGGAUGGUCUCUUGCUCAUAAAUAGUUUCAAUAUGGUACCCAUUACAGCGUACAUCUUUAAAACUGAGUAGAUUCCAUUUUGAUCUAAUGCUUAGAACGCAUUCUCAAUAUAUAGAAUGAUGCCAUUUGGCAAAACAAUUGUGGCAUUCCCAACACCAUCAAUAAUCAGAACAUAACUUGAUAUUGUAUGGAUUUGUGUUUUACUCAAUAUCAUACUCGAGAAAAAGUAUCUACUACGAAAUAUAAUAUGUGUUGUUGCACUAUCAAGCAAACAAACAUAUUCCUUUCUUGGUAUUUUCCAUUUGCAUUUAUGUUGACAAUUUCAGGUGUCAAGUAUCAUAAAAUUUGCAUAUUAGUUAUAGAGUUAAAUAAACUUUCAAAAUAAAUAUUAUAUAAGGUUCAUAAGCAUUUCAUAACCAUAUUAGAUAACAAUAAAAAAAUAAUACAUUUAACUAGAAAAGAAAUUAUUAGAAUCAUAGAAUUUGAAGUUCAAAUUAUCAUCUACCAGUUUGAUGCCUCAUCAAAGUAAUCGGAGGUCCUCAAAAAAAUUAGAGACAUCCAGAGAUGCAUUUGCUACUUCAAGAGCAAAAUGAGUCCCAUCAACGGAGAUAUUGUUGGCAUCAAUAGUGGUUAUGGCAGAAGAAUUGAUUUCAAUGGCAUGAGAUUCACCAUGCUUACCCAUAUUUGUUUUGGCGUACAACAAAUACGUGACCAAUGGCCAGUCAUGCCACAUCAAUGACAAAUACUUUCAUUAAUCACCUUCUUUAGCUUCUUUUUUUUUGUCAUGAUUCCGUUCAAAGUUAGAUUUCCUAAGGUGGUUAAAUUUUCUGCCAUCCCUUCUAGGAGUAUGCUCUUGCUUGCACUUAUAACACUUAAAGUGGCUAGUAAUUUUCUCAAAAUUAGCAUAUACUUCAGGCAAUACUUUUGAGCCAGCAAGUCUAAGAUCAUAAUUUUUUAGUAGUAAUUCAUUAGUUUGCUCGGCAGUAAGGAGUACAUAAAUUAAUUUAGAGUAUAUGGCAAAUUGAAUCUACCGGUAUUGCUAUUGCAAUACAAUAUUCGAAACCUGGAAGGUGGAGAAAGUUUUCUGUAACAAUUCUGCAUUAGCGAGUUUGAUACCGCAUAACUCAAACCGAGAAACAAUAUCAAAUAAAGCGGAAUUAUAGUCAAACACUAAUUUAAAAUCUUACAGUAUGAGAUUUUGCCAGUCAUAUUGUGCUUGAGGGAGGAUAACAAUCUUGGUAUGAUCAUACCUAACCUUCAACCUCCUUCACAAGAUCUAAGGGUCUCAAACGGAUAAAUAUUGAGUCUGCAAGCUCUCAUGCAAAUGACGGCAAAUAAAAAUCAGCACAUUAGCUUUAUCUUUUGCAUUUGAGGUUUCAUCAUCUGUAAUUGAUUAGCGAGACCUUACCUUGGAGGUGCAUUUCCAUGUCAAGGCACAAGAUAAAUAAUUCUUUCCACUCACUUCUAGGAUGUGGAAUUUUGGCUUUUCAAUAUUUGUCAUAAUCCUUACAAAAAUAAAUCCUUAAAUUAAUUAAAAGGAUUUCCAAGUAUCCACUGCCACUUCAGGAGCAGAAAGAUACUUUUAGAUUUGAAAUUUGGCUUCGGGCCAAGAAAAAUAAAAAAAUGAAGAAUUGAUAGAAGAAGAUGAAAUAUAAGUUGAUUAAUAAAAAUAAUACAUACCUUGCAAAAAUUACUUACUCAGUUAGUAAAUCUUCGUGCUAAUAAUGUGUUGUAAAAUAUUACGUUACAAAUAUGUAAUAAAGAGAAUAAAGAGAUUGAGAAGAGAAAGUAGGUAAACAUUAAAGAUAGUAGAGAAAGUUGGAGAAGAAGAUUUUAUUUCCAGUAUAUCACUGUUUAUAUCUACAACAAAAACUAAGCUCUUGUUUAUAGGAAAACAUAAAUGAAUAUCUAGUACUUUUAUAAGCUAAUUCCAAAAAAAAUAAAAAAUAAACACCAAUUUUAGGUUUAGUGAUAAAUUUGGCCAUCAAGUUUGUCGGAUUUUUCUAGUUUCUUGAAUAAGAUAAGAUGCAAAGCCAAAGUCCAGUUGGCCGGAUCAAUGAUUUAAGCAUGGGAUUAAUUGCAUAUCGGCGAGGUAGCCCACGAGAGAAAAUCAAACAUGUUUCAUGCACUUAAUCUUAGCCAAGUAAUUAAAGCACAGGUCUAGUCGUGACACACGUUGGCAAGCAUUGAAAAAGAAAGUAUACUUAAAUGAGAGCAGCGCAGGGACCCAUAGUAUUAUUAUUAUUUUUUUGAGUCGGUCGAGGACCUGUAGUGCGAAAGGCGCAUUUCCCCAGCAGAUCAUGUGACACGCGUUGAUCGUGCGGAGGAAUGAAGGUGAUCGAUCAUCUGUAUAUCUAUCUGCAUAUCUAUCUAUAUAUAUAGUCAUCCAGGUUAAUCACGUUGACACUUGUGGCGAGAGAGAUGCAGAGCAUAACAGAGAGAAGGAGAAGGAUGGGGAGCAAGGGCGGCAGCUCUCGAGCGAUAACGUGCAAAGGGGUGGUGUGCUGGGGAGCAGAGGAGGAAUGGAGGGUGGAGGAGAUUCAAGUGGAUCCCCCCAAGGGGAGCGAAGUGAGGAUGAAGAUGCUGUUCGCCAGCAUUUGCCCCACCGAUCUCCUAUACUCCCAGGGUUUCCCUUUGGUCGGUUCAUCCUUUUCCAUAUAUCCCUUCGCCUCUCUCUGUAUUAUUCUCUCUGCUCUUCUGCAGCACCACUGCUUACUCUUUCUCUGAUUUUGUCGGCAUUGCAGCCGCUUUACCCUCGAGUUCUCGGUCAUGAAGGUGUUGGGUAAAGUCCUUCUCUCUAAUUCGAUUCCUACUAAUUCUUCCUUGUUAGUUUUGUCGAUGAGGCGUUGCAUUCCAUCAGCAUAUGUUACAGCUGAUCUCAACAUGACAUGGCAGGAUCGUGGAGAGUGUUGGAGAGGAAGUAGAGGAGUUGAAGGAAGGAGAUGUGUUAUUCCCACCUACGUUGGAGAAUGCAGAGAGUGCGAGAACUGCAAAUCCGAUAGGACAAACUUGUGCCUCCGAUAUCCGCUUUCUGUAAAUGGCGUGUUGCCGGAUGGCACGUCCAGAAUGUCGAUCCGAGGCCAGGCCCUGUACCACCUCCUCUCUUGCUCCACCUGGUCUGAGUACACGGUCUCCGACGCCAAUUACGUCGUGAAGGUCGACCCUGGUGUAGCUCUCCCGCAUGCUAGCCUCUUGUCGUGCGGAUUCUCCACUGGGUUCGGCGCUGCUUGGAUGGACUCUAAGGUCGAGAGCGGCUCCUCCGUGGCUGUGAUCGGCCUCGGUGCUGUUGAACUCGGGGUAUGUGAUCGGUCGUUUGCGUUACUAACUUACAUGUGUAAUAUAUGAAUGCUGUUUUGAGAGGAUUAAUUAGAGAGAAAGCACGGCAACAGUUCAUUUGAUUUGAUCACGAGCAGGCCAUAGGAGGAGCAAGAGCGCAAGGGGCGACUACCAUAAUCAGCGUGGACAAAAACGGGAUAAAAAAGGACAAGGGAGAAGUCUUUGGAAUGACUCAUUUCAUAAAUCCAGACGAUCACAAGUCUUCCGAUGGCACGGAUUCGAAGUCCAUCUCUGAGAUGGUGAAAGACUUGACGGGCGGAGCUGGCGUGGACUACUGCUUCGAGUGCAGCGGAGUACCCAACUUGAUCAACCAGGCCCUAGAAGCCACCAAAGUGGUGAUGAAUCCGUGUCAUCGCAUCAUCGACAAAAUCACAAUCGCGCACGCGCACUCGCGCGUGGCUAAACUUCAUCUAGGCAAGUCUCCUGACUGUAUGAUUUGAUGUGGUCAGGGGAAAGGCAAGGCAGUAGUAUUGGGGGCAGGGCCGACACAUGUCUUGGAGAUUAAUUUCAUGGGGCUGAUGAUGGGCAGAACGUUGAAGGGAACCAUUUUUGGAGGACUCAAAAGCAAGACCCACCUGCCCCUCCUUGUCCACAAAUCCAAGGAUGAGGUUCUGAUCAAGCUCUUUCUUGCCCCCACCAGUUUCAGACCUUUACGCGCACAGCCACUGAAAUUUUGCUUGCUCUGGUUCUGCAGGAGAUCCCUCUCGAUGAACUUCUGACCCACGAGAUGAAAUUGGAGGACUUGCCGACAGCACGUGAGCUCCUGAUGCAAGCCUAGGGGAGGCUUUCUCAAAUAGUAGGAUCGGGAGAGUGACUUGCACACGGAAACAGGACAAACAGGAAUUUCAGCACUGCACGAGCUCAGGAGAAUGGUCGUAUAUUUGUCGAUACAAAUCGGAUUGACCUGAUUCCAAAGCCAAAUGAACAAAGACUUCUGGAUCUACAAUUUCUCUGUUCUGGGUUUUCUGAAAUAAUCACUGUAGGAUAGUCGAAACUGGGUUGGAAGUAACGAACAGAACAGGAAAAGACAGAGACUCCGUUGGUUGCUCUUCUAGGCCUCCAAGGAAGUUGAGGGGCACCGAUUCUUCUAGAUCGAUGACUGCAACUCUUCAAGGAUGCAGAUUUCGAAAGCUCCGACUCUUCAAGGACGGAGUGAAAACUCUUCUAGGUUUUCAAGGGUUGAACUCUUCAAGGUUCAUGAUACUUGCUUCAAGCAAAGCUUUUCAUUAAUCAAAAGUUGUCUCCUUUCUCUACAAGAGAUUGGAUGGCUUAUAUCAUCAAGAAAAUAAAAACAGAGCGUUGAAACUAGGAGAAAUAAAGACAAAGCGUUGAAACUAGGAGAAAUAAAAACGGAGCAUUGAAAAUAGGAGAAAUAGUAAAGAGCAUGGAAACUAUAAACUAGUAAAAGCGUUAUGCGAGCUUCCAAGGUGUUUUAUGUCGAUAUAGCUUCUCGGUUUCGUCGAGCUUGAAUGCGGCCCGACCUUCUUGGUCGGGAAAGCUGGUCUUCAAUGCGGGCUGCAUCAUCCUCCCCAUCUUUAAAAGAAUUCGUCCUCGAAUUCUCGCCAUCAUCAUCAGAAGAAUCUCCCACAUAAGGUGUUAAAUGUCGAACGUUGAAGACGUCGUGAGUCUUCAUAUGAGAAGGAAGAUUUAAUCGAUACGCAUUAGGAUUAAUGCGCUCAAGAACUUCGAGAGGUCCAAGCUUUCGAUCACUAAGCUUGUUAUAAGUUCCAACGGGAUGCCGUUCCGGUGGUAGAUAAGCCCAAACAAAGUCUCCAGGUUCAAAGAUAACUUCACGCCGCUGCUUGUCGAUGUCCGUUUUAUAGGAUUCAGUUUUGCUCUCUAGUCUUUGGCGCACAUCUUCAUGAAUUGUCUUCAUUUGAGAAACAAUAUCAUCGACUUUGCUGCUGGACUUCUCAGCAAAAGGAAUUGGUGCAAGAUCAAGAGCAGUGUUUGGUUGUCGACCAUAUAUGAUCAUAAAUGGACUAUAUCCAGUGCUACGAUUCUCAGCACAAUUAUAUGCAAAUUCUCCAAGUGAUAACCGUGUCUCCCAAGAACGGGGAUUAUUAUCAAUCAAAGUCCUUAAUAGAUUUCCCAAUGUUCGAUUGACGACCUCAGUUUGUCCAUCCGUUUGGGGAUGAAACACAGUACUAUAUUGCAAUUUAGUACCGACAUUCUUCCACAGUUGUCGCCAAAAAUGACUAAGAAAUUUUGUAUCUCGAUCCGAAGUAAUGGUCUUCGGAAUGCCAUGCAACUUAUAGACUUCUUUGAAAAAUAAGUCAGCAAUACGCGAAGCAUCCAUAGUUUUUCGACAGGGAAUAAAAUGUGCCAUUUUGGAAAAUCGAUCGACAACAACAAAGAUCGAAUCCAUACCUCUGUUUGUGCGUGGUAAUCCAAGGACAAAGUCCAUAGAGAUAUCCUCCCAUGGGGCAUGUGGAAUCGGCAAAGGCAAAUAAAGGCCAGCAUUAGUAGCUUGUCCCUUUCCAAUUUGGCAACGUCGACACCUCAUCACAUGUCGAUGUACAUCACGUUUCAAAUGAGGCCAAAAGUAUUUGGCUGAGACGAGUUGUACAGUUUUGUUGCGCCCAAAAUGUCCUUCAUGGUGAACUUCAUCGAUCACCCGCUACCGAAGAGAACAGUCCGGCACACAUAAACGGUUUCCUUUGAAAAGAAAACCAUCACAUACAGUAAAAUCAGCAAGCUUCUUUUCAUGUGCAUCGGGAAUGAUCUUGGAAAAGUAGGGGUCUUCUUGAUAUAACUCCUUAAAGGAAUCAAAUCCAAGAACAGUAGAAUGCAUUGUAGAGAGCAAACUCUUCUUUCGACUAAGGGCAUCGGCAACCUGAUUCUGAGCUCCAGCCUUAUGCUUAAUAAUGAAAGCAAACUCUUGGAUGUAUUCAGCCCAUUUUGCACGCCUGGAGUUAAGUUUUUGCUGUCCAGAAAUAUACUUCAGAGCUUCAUGAUCAGUAUAUAAAAUAAACUCUCGAUGAAUAAGAUAUGGCCGCCAAUACUCAAGUGUGCGAAAUAAGGCGUAGAAUUCCAAAUCAUAGGUGCUGUAACGAAGUUUGGCACCAUUCAAUUUUUCACUAAAGAAGGCGAUGGGUCGACCUCCUUGACUUAGAACUCCUCCUAUGCCAGUACCUGAUGCAUCACAAUGCACUUCAAAAACAAGAUCAAAAUUAGGCAAUGCAAGUACCGGGGCUAUGCUCAAUUUUUCUUUGAGCUGUUCAAAACUUUUAUGAGCUGCAUUCGUCCAUUCGAAAACUCCCUUCUUCAUGCAAGAAGUGAGUGGGGCCGCAAUGGUGCUAAAAUGCGCAAUAAAUCGUCGAUAGAACGAAGCGAGGCCAUGAAAACUUCGCACUUCAUGCACAUUUGUUGGAGUUGGCCAUUCUCGAAUCACCUUGAUCUUAGAAUCAUCCACCGAAAUGCCAUUCUUCGAAAUAUGAAACCCCAAGAAAAGGAUUUGUGGUACCAUAAAAUAGCACUUGUCGAGAGCCGCAUACAAUUGUUCCUGCCUCAGCACACAUAAUACUUCUUGAAGAUGCUGCAAGUGUUCAUCAGUAGAUUUGCUAAAAAUCAGGAUAUCAUCAAAAUAAACAACAACAAACCUUCCCAGAAAAGGCUUCAACACCUGAGUCAUAAACCUCAUGAAUGUCGAUGGUGCAUUCGAUAAUCCGAAUGGCAUGACUAGCCAUUCAUAUAGCCCAUCUUUCGUUUUGAAUGCUGUCUUCCAUUCAUCUCCGGGUUUGAUUCUAAUUUGAUGAUAUCCACUCUUCAAAUCCAGCUUUGAGAAUAUAUUUGCACCAGAAAGUUGAUCUAAGAGAUCAUCAAGUCGAGGAAUAGGAAAUCGAUAUUUGAUGGUGAUCUUGUUGAUCGCUCUACUGUCGACACACAUCCUCCAAGUACCAUUUUUCUUAGGCACUAAAAGAGCUGGAACAGCACACGGACUAAGGCUCUCCCUUAUAAAACCCUUAUUCAAUAGCUCCAUAACUUGUCGAUGCAAUUCCUCAUGUUCAGUCGGACUCAUCCGGUAAUGAGCGAGAUUCGGCAAAGAGGCUCCGGGCAACAAGUCAAUUUGAUGCUGAAUAUCUCUCAUAGGAGGGAGACCAUUGGGUAAGUCCAUCGGGAAGACAUCCUUGAAUUCUUCCAAAAGAGGUUGAACUCGAUGAGGUACAACAGAGGCAACUUCAUUCUUCCCACCUGUUUUAUUGAGCAAAAUAUACAAGAUACGAACUCCUUUCAAAGCAUCCUUCAUAUCCUUCAUUGUAAGCAACGUAGGGGAGAAGGAAUUCUCAACUACAGGAGUUUUCACAGGUUCCCUACUAGGUGUCAACGUAAUUUUCUUGCCUCCAAAUUCAAAAGAAUAUGUAUUUCGAUAACCGUCAUGUGUAGUCCUCCUAUCGAAUUGCCAUGGUCGACCAAGAAUAAGGUGACUAGCAUCCAUCGGCAGAACAUCACACCAUAUCUUGUCAUUAUAAACAGAGCCAAUGGACAAAUUAACAAGGCAUCGUUUCGAAACAAUUACCUCGGCGCCUUUCUUCAACCAUGACAUUUUAUAAGGUGUAGGGUGUGUUUUUAAUUCCAACUUCAGCUUGUUUGCCGCUACUUCAGAAAUUAUAUUCUCACAACAACCAGAGUCAAUAAUUAAUUGACAUACCUUUCCCAUGAUUGUGCAAGCAGAAUGGAAAAUAUUGGUACGCAGCCACCUAUCUCCAGUGUCAUCUCGAGGAGUAAGAAAGAUUUUCCUCACCAUAAGAAGUUCGCCAGUGUCAGCAUGCACUAUUUGUUCAUCAUCUGCAGCUUCUUCAUCAUUAUUCAACUCCUCUUCAAGUGGAUCCUCAGCGUUCUCAUCGGAAUUAUUAUCCACCAAGAAGGCUUUACCGGCUGGUCGAUUCUUAUUGAUUCGACAAUUGCUAGCACGAUGACCCAACUCCCCACAAGAAUAGCAACGUAUUUCGGAUGUAGCAGGUUGCUUCAAAAUAUGGGGCUGAGUAGAAGACUUACUAGCAGAUUGCGUUGUAGCCUCAGCAACUUUAGCAGUGCUAGUGGUGCUUUUAGUGGCUCGACUCGCCAUGGUAGUUGAUUGCUGUCUCCGAGAACGAGAGCGCUCCAUUUUGAGUGCUCGUUGGUGUGCAUCUCCUAAGUCCCAAAUGUCGAGGACUUCCAAGGCGUCUUGAAUGUAAAAUUGAAGACCGUUCAAGUAUUUGUUCACAAGCACCUCCUCCGGAUCUUGGAUAUUGUUACGAAUCACCAACUCAUUGAAUUCAUUGGUGUAUUGGUCCACCGUUCGCGUACCUUGUUUUAGAUUUUGGUACCGUUGGUAGAGCUCUCUCUUAUAUCCUUUGGGAAGAAAAUAUUUUUGAAUCUUGCCCUCCAUCUUUCUCCACGAAGUGACUGGUGCUUUGCCAACGGCUUGGCGAGUUUGUUUUUCACGUCUCCACCAAGCAAUCGCCUUGCCUCGGAAUCGCAUAGCAAUGAUCCCAACGCGACGAUUCUCCGGAACAUUUCGAUGCUCAAACAUCUCAUUCACAAGUGUUAGCCAAUCAACAAUUUCAUCAGGAGACUCAUUACCUGUAAAUUCUGGGACAUCUUUCUUGACUUCCUUUUCCCAAUCUGGCUCACGAAUAUGUUGUAAACGAUGUCGAACAUGCCUCCGACCGUGAAUAUAUUGAACACUCUCCGAAGAGGAAGAGUCACCAUGGGAAUCUUCAGUCCUGGAACGGGGUGGAGAAUUAUUUGCUUCAGCCCUCAAACGCUGAACUUCUUGCGUCAAUUCAUCAAUUUGUUGUUGCAUAUUCUCAGCGAGUGUAUGCAAUUCAUUGAGGGGAACGGUUCUGCCGCCACGACGCCUAGCUUGUCUUGGAGGCAUUGUCCUCUCCUCCAAAGCUCCGAUACCAAAUGAUGCAAGCCUAGGGGAGGCUUUCUCAAACAGUAGGAUCGGGAGAGUGACUUGCACACGGAAAUAGGACAAACAGGAAUUUCAGCACUGCAUGAGCUCAGGAGAAUGGUCGUAUCUUUGUCGAUACAAAUCGGAUUGACCUGAUUCCAAAGCCAAAUGAACAAAGACUUCUGGAUCUACAAUUUCUCUGUUCUGGGUUUUCUGAAAUAAUCACUGUAGGAUAGUCGAAACUGGGUUGGAAGUAACGAACAGAACAGGAAAAGACAGAGACUCCGUUGGUUGCUCUUCUAGGCCUCCAAGGAAGUUGAGGGGCACCGAUUCUUCUAGAUCGAUGACUGCAACUCUUCAAGGAUGCAGAUUUCGAAAGCUCCGACUCUUCAAGGACGGAGUGAAAACUCUUCUAGGUUUUCAAGGGUUGAACUCUUCAAGGUUCAUGAUACUUGCUUCAAGCAAAGCUUUUCAUUAAUCAAAAGUUGUCUCCUUUCUCUACAAGAGAUUGGAUGGCUUAUAUCAUCAAGAAAAUAAAAACAGAGCGUUGAAACUAGGAGAAAUAAAGACAAAGCGUUGAAACUAGGAGAAAUAAAAACGGAGCAUUGAAAAUAGGAGAAAUAGUAAAGAGCAUGGAAACUAUAAACUAGUAAAAGCGUUAUGCGAGCUUCCAAGGUGUUUUAUGUCGAUAUAGCUUCUCGGUUUCGUCGAGCUUGAAUGCGGCCCGACCUUCUUGGUCGGGAAAGCUGGUCUUCAAUGCGGGCUGCAUCAGCUCCUGAAGCGGUCGGACUGCGUCAAGAUUUUGAUCAAGAUUUAGUGCCCUAUUUUGCCUAUUGCCUCCUGCCCUUGCUUUCUCGAAUUUCCUAGUACGAUAUUGACCAUGCUUUGUUUACUGUUGCACUCGCUCGUGUGAAACUCCGAUAAGAUUUUUUUUUUUUUUGACAAGAAUAAGAUAUUAUUGUUGGAGUUCAUGAUACAAUUUCGAGAAAUAUCUAGUAUUUAGAUAUUGUUACAUAGAUUCCUCUUGGCACGCCGACAAAACUCUAGUCUAAUAAUGUUGGUUGAAACACACGGUCUAGAAUGAAAGCAAAAAACGAAAAUCUCUUACACCUUACAGAUAUUAUGCCUAUGUCUUCAUCGGUUAUUCAUAAUCAAACUAUGUUUCCUCCUCCUAUAACCUUCAACGCACAAUUAUUACUUUGUUCUCUUAUUUAUUCUCUACCACAUCACUAGCCAAAAACUAUUAUCAAUAUUAGCCCCAUAGUUAUGAACAUAAUUAUAUUUUCAUCAAUUAUCAAUAUCAAUGAAAUCAACACCUCGAAUCACUUCACAAGGCGUGCCCCUUCCAUGUUCAGGUCAAGCAUCUAUCAAACCUAACUCGAACCAAACGGUUCACUGCCAACUCUUUUCUGCAUCCCAACCCUCUCUUUAAGAAUGCCGCAUCAUAAGAUAUGAUGUUUAACCAACUUAUCUUUCCAAUUGCUGCAAUUUGCAUUAGCUUCGCUUAGUCAACCUCCAGACGUUUAUUGAACAUUUACCCAUUCUUUGAACUGUAAUUUUUCCUUGGAAACUCUUAUCACAAAAGUAUCUUUUAGAAGUUAAACAGAAUAUUCGAAUUAAUUAAACAAACGCGACAAAGCUGAAGUCCAAGCCGAGUAACAGAGUCAAGUUUAAACCAUAACAGAACCUUGAUCACUUCAAAUCACACCCCUCAUCCAUAGAAAACAAAAGACGACCAACCAUGUCACGAUUGAAUCCAACUUAUCUGGAAGUUCGACAUUUACGACAGGUGAUGUAAGCCUGCUAAGUAUCCCCAAACUCCCACCGUUUUAUCCUGGAUCGAGGUUUCCUGUUUGCCGACUUUCUGCUCCACGGCCUGAUAUCAUCACACAAUCCGCAGAGAAGAUACUGCACAUUUACGGGGUGAGGGAACUCUCUGUCUGACCUCAAUUACAAAUUCCAUCCCAAUUCUAGGGGCGAGCAUGGUCCACCCCCUAACCUAAGACCAACCCACAUAGUGCUAAUCCUCAAUUUUUUGACCGAGGACCGACCCUAUUGAGCUUGGGACCGAGGACUAGAUUGGCCCAAUGGGUUCGGUCUGGUUCUAGAGUCAACCCGGAACCAACCGAUAAUUUUUUAUUUCAUUUUUUGUAUUUCUUAAAAAAACAAUUAAGGACUAGACUGACCCAAUAAGUUUGGUCUUAUUUCCAGGUCAACCCAAGACCAACCAAUACUUUUUUAUUUCAUUUUUUGUACUCCUUAAAAGGGUAACUGAGGACCAUACCUACCUAAUGGGUUUGAUGAUGAGCGAGGUCAAUUAGACAAGCGGUGAGGGUUAAGUGGGGUGAGCAUCGAACAAAUGAGCAUCGAAUGUCGAGUGGGGAGCAACAAGCCAAGCGAGCAUCGAGCAACGAGUGGCACAAAUGACCCAAAGCGAGCGAGGCGAGUGUUGAGUGGCAAGAGGAGAAGUUUUUUAUUUUGAUUUUGGCAAAUUGAAGAGUAAGAGGACAAAUAAGACAAAAGAAAACAAAUAUUAGAUGAUGAUGCCAUAAGGAGUUGUUUAUACUUUUUUGGACGCUAUAAGGACUCAUCACAAAAACAUUUUCCUCUUUCAUAAAUUAUAACUAUUGACACUGUAAAAGACAUUAAAAAUCUAAGUUAUUAAAGAAUAAUGUAAAAUUACAUGAACUCCUCACUAAAAAGCUAUUUAAUGUUGUUGACGCUAUUUAUUUUAAGGUUUUCUCUAUAUAAAAAAACUAUAAAUAAUAUAUUAGAUAUAUAUAUAGUCAGAAUUGAUCCGGGUUGGACCGACCUGGAACUGUUAGGAUGGAGGACCAACCCGCACAGUGCUAGUCCAGGAAUUCUAAGAUCAAGGACCGACCCAAUCUCCCUGGGAACCGGACCAGGACUAGCAGGGUUAGGCCGAUCCAGGGUCGGACCCUGGACCGAUGCUCACCCCUACCCAAUUUCCAUUCUCCAAACUUCAUGGCAAUCGCCUUAAAACACAAGCCAUCUACAUUUCUCUUUCUUUGAUAAUAACAUAAGAAUUCUAUGCCGGCGCACUAUGAGUGUUUCACAAGAAUCAAAUAAGAUUUGACACCUCAAAGGCAGAUGAAUUUAAAAAAAAUAGCUAAAUUCCCCGCCAAAUAGAAUUCUUACAAAUGCGCAACUGAAGGAUCGGGAAAUUUUCGUAGUUUGGCCAGUGGAAAGACGUGCUCAAAUGGCACACGCAACAGUCGUAGAGAGAAUGUGGCAUCAUUCAUCCAUGCUAUAAUAUAAUGAUCCAAUGAUCACUUUGGCCAAAUAAAGGGGGGGGGAAAGGUAGAAUCCCAAUGAUCACUAGAAAGAUCAAGAAUCUUCUAAAGAAAGAGACUGAAAUAAAACAAACAAAAUCUUCUUCUUGUGUGUACUGCGUAUAAGUGGAACUAAGAUGACAUGCGGACAACAUGGUAAUGACACGUCCUCUUUAGACAUGAUUUUCUUCUUAAAUUCGACUCGAAUCUCUACCGAAAAUGAAUCGCGAUCCCCAGUCAGAGACCACCUGUCACGACCCGAACCCCGGGCACAUGCACAUCCCUCAAUGGUCGAUUUAAAAUUUGCAACAUCCCAGGAACUGUUGCCGACCCAUUCGUUAUUUUUGCACAUGCGGAAACGUAAAAACAAUCUUUAUACAAAACAGUGGGAUAAAAACGUAGGAUAUUAUUUUUCACAAGCCACACCUACAACAUCACAUUACUUAUAGACUAGUUUAACAUCCCAAGGUCUAAUACAAAAAGUGAAGAUGUUCGAUUACCCACUAACUAAGCUUCUAUCUAUAAGACUGGGGUUUACUACUACAAUACCAUACUUCUCAAUUUCUCAGGGGUGAGCUGUCACCCUACAUCUAGUCUUGACGGAAAACCCGUCAUUACUUGGAAGGAGAUAGCAAGAAUCCUAUUCCUCCUUUACUGCGACCGACUGUACACGACCCGGCCUUCCUCCAUGUAGGGACCUGAAAAAUGUUAGCCCACUAAGAGGUGAGAUCACAUCUCAGCGAGUAAAUCCCUUAAUUCCAGAUUAGGCGAAGGGUACAUCCUGCAUGCAAUCUAAUCACGUUUCUCAUAUUUUCUUAAUACUAGUACUUUUCUGCAUGUUAGUGUCAAUCAAAUCAUGCAUAAGAUAUCGAGAUCAUAUAUCAUCAGAAUACUUUUAACAUAUACAUAUGUAAGGACAUAAAUGUCACAUAAUUACGCGGGCCCCGAAUUACCAGACUAAACCGUUGUAGUACGUCCCAUACCGCACCACACAGUUCCUUCUUUUAAUUAGGUUCCUCACUUUCACCCAUUCAUGUGUCACAAAUGAUUUCAAUGCACAGAUAACAGUCUUCCGGCAUAACCGGGCAUCGUCUCGCACCGUCGAGCGCGGUAUCGUCUACAUCUAGACGGCAUUUCAUAUAGGAGCAUCGGUCCAGCCUCCACUACGAUCGGCAUCCGUUGACGUGGGGCAUUCCCGAAGGAGCAUCGUCCGGCCCCAAAGGCUCGUGACAACAUUUCACAUCAUUCAUGCAUUUAUUCAACUUCAGCCCAAGAUACCGUGCAUUACACUCAAAUACCUCAAUUAAAAUGGUGAUCCCAGCCUAUUUUCUUCAUAUUAGAAAUGCAUGGUAAAAUAAUCGUGUGUGGGGACACGGUCAGAUCGAACCAGAAAAUUUGUGUCAUCUCUUUUAAAAUCCCACAGUUUGGUAUAGUAUUUAAAAACACUUUCGGCGUCCAAAACCUGACACCCGGUAUUUUAUAAUUAAAUACCAACAGUUUUCAAUCACCAUACAAUAGCACAAAACAUCACCCAAUUCAUGCGGAUGCCCAUGCCUUUACACAUCCAUUCACUUCAUAAAAUCAAUACACAUGAAAUUAGACCACUUUUCAUUCUCGGGUGAAUAGUGUACGUGAACAGUGCGUGUGAACAGUACUUGUGAACAGUGCAUCAUGAACAGUGAAAUUCCAAAGUUCAAUAACUAAUAAAUUAAAUCCGCAAGUCAUUAAAACACUAAUUAAAACAAGCAAAGCAUCAAGAACCAUCAUCAAACUAAAAUCAGUUCUAAUUUACAGAAACCGGGCCUUCGCGCGUCUCCAAAUUUAAAUCCAGAAACCUAACCAAUCGAGCUCGAAAAAUUCCCAAAUUUGAAUAUGUUGUAAAGGACAUGUAAAAGAACAUUUUUAAUGAAGACACCAAGAUCCAGAUCCCUCUAGAUUCGGCCCAGAAAUUCUCUCUAUCCAGCACAAAAAUCGGGUCUAGUUCCAGAGAACCUAACUCAUCGAAAUCAGUUCGUUUUUGGGUCGAAAUCUAGUCCGUUUGAUUUGAAAUUCAAUUAUGUUAAACUAAAAGUUAUAGCAAACAACUUUCAUGAAGAAACCGAUUGGAAAUUCGACCUCGAAAGGUCAGUAACAGCCCUCUGAAUCAUAACAGGUCAGGAGUUACAAAACUGUCCGAAUUAUUGUUCCGAGGAUGACGUCAUUAAAAUCAUCAUCUUUUUAAUUUCUAAAAAUUCUAAGAAAAAUAUGAGAUAGCUAGUAUAAGCACCUAGAGGGGGGGUGAAUAGGUGCACAAACAAAUUCUCGAGAUACGGAAGCGAUUCUAGGCAAACAAUAGAAAGAAAAUGCGAUCAAAGCGAAGUAAAGGUUAAGGAAGAGAGAAAUGAACACAAGAUUUAUAGUGGCUCGGCUUAUUCCAAGCCUACAUCCACUCUUCCGCACUGACAGCCCACCGCCUGGAUUUCACUAUGAACAAAAGAGAAGUUACAGCACAGCUUUUCCUUGAUUCCACAGUGUAAAAGUUCUACCACACUUCCUCAAGGUUUCUCACGAAUAUAAACUCUCUUUUGUUUACACGAUUUUGCUCAACAAAUGAAUUGACGAAGAACAAGGAGCUUUAGACUUUGGAAUUCUUCUAUCGUGCACACACUCGAACAACUGGAACGUCUUCCUUAUAUACUCCUUCAUGCCAUUAUACCCGUUGGCACUUACCAAAGGAAUUCCUCGAAUCUACUCGUUGGACGGAAUCAAUUAGGAAGAUCAUUCGAGCUAUUAAAGGAACAUGUCGAUAGCCCAUCAAUCAUGUUCGCCCAUACAAUCAGGAUCUCAGUUUCCAUAAGUAGAACCUUCCAAGUAUACUUUGUCAAUCAUCGGAUCCUUAAUCUUCGAAUCAAUUAUGAUCAAAUAAAGAAUUCCGUUAUGUCAUAUCCAGCCAAGAGAUCUUCUCCAGUCGAUAAGGCCACAUCCUUAAUGAAACAUCCAGUUCUAGAUAGCCUUUCUUCAACGAAUUAGAAACUAUCAAUGAAAAUAGACUUUGAGUCUUGAGUGUCCGGAGGUCUUCAGACUUUAAAUAACAGAGUCUGCAAGCCUUCAGACUAGACUGAUGGAAACGUUUUGUCAACUUCAAAACACUUCAAGAGGAUUUCUCCAACAAUCUCCCCCUUUUUUAUGGUGACAAAACUUUCCUGCAGAUUUGGAAAACUUUGACCUGCUAAACAUUUCUCAAACACAUAUGCAUAUCUUAUAGAGAUAAAUGGCUAAAUGAAUAACACUAGUAUCUGCAACCACAAAGAAUAGGUUAGCCCAGUAUGCAAUAAAGCCAUCCAUAAGAUAUCAAUAGUAGUUAAUAAUAAGCUAUCAAAUCCAAAUCCAAAUUUAGUCCACAUCCAGACACACACGACUCAAAAGUCAAGUCAAGACAAACCACAAACCAAACAAGCCAAAAGUUCGACAAAUUUAAGUUCAAAGUUUUUCAAGUCUCACAACUCUCCCCCUUUUUGUCAGCAUAAAAAAAAUGAGAUGAAAAUGAAGUCAAGGAUUCUUGGGAACACGAACAAGCUGAAAAUCUCCCAUCGACUGAACGAUGCCUUCCAGCCUUUUUAAGUCUUCCUUCAACUGAACAACAUCCUCACCCUUAGCAUUAGCCUGAAUCUGAAGAAAAGGGCUUGGAUUUGAUCAUUUAAUGAACCCGAAGAGACUUGUCCUGCAUUCUGCAAGUUCUGAACUUCACAUCCCAAUGCAUAUAUCUGACCUUGCAUCUCCAAGAGAAUAUCCAUCACUCUGCGAAAGUCUGCUGAAUUGUCGGUCUGCGUACUGGCGUUAGCACGAUCUGAUGGAGUAAAUGCAGACGAUGGUAGAUCAACAUAAUCACGCAGAUUUGGCAAAGAAACCUCAUGACCUUCCUCACGAAACUGAGAGGCAUAAAUAUCCUCAGGAUCUGCUGGGGAUCGACUGACUCCCUCACUGGAUGCAGGAUUUGAAGAUAUUCAUCUUUUCUCUUGGUCUCCCCCUGUGUUCAUGCCUUCAGGUGGAGAGUGCUCCUCAUGUUCUUCUUCUUCAUGAUCUCUUUUCUCUUCUUCUUCUUUUUCAACUCUCUCUUGCUCAGCAUUUCUUUCUUCUUCUUCUUCUCUUUCCUCCGUUUCUUUUUCCUCUGCUUCUUUUUCUUCUGCUUCUUUUUCCUCUGCUUCUUUCUCUGCUCUUUCUUCUGUCUGCUGUUCUGACUCUUUCUCUGGAACAGAUCGACUGAGAUUCUUCAAAGCAGAAAUAGUGAUGUUUUCCUCAUCAUCUUCAUCAUCAACGAGGAGAGCUCUUCUUCUCUUGGAUGGAGCAUCCAUGGGUUCCUUCCCUUUUCUUUUUCCUGCAGAAGAGAAUUGAUGAGAUUUGACUAGAGUCUCCUCCUUAAAUUUCUCUAAUGCCUUGCUUAGUUCCUUCAGACGCAUCUUGGUCACCAUUUUCAGUCCUACCACCAUAUGAUCGCACGAUCGAGCACAAAGAAUUUGCGGAGGCUGAAUGUUCAGAUGUCUGAAUAACUUCGUCACAAGACCUGGAUAAGGAAGUUGUCCUCCGUCCUUUAUCACAGCUCUAUACAUGUGGAACAUAACAGUGUGAGAAAGAGAAAAUCUUUUCCCAGUGAUGAUUGCAUACAUUAGCUUUGCCUCUGAACUUGAGACAUCAGUCUUGGAAGUUGAUUUCGGUCUGAGGCAAUUGAUUACUAUUUUGUGCAGCAAGAUGUUAAAUGCACUCAUCCUUGAAUAGGAAAUAUUUCCCUCUGUUGUCCUGUCCUUAACCAAUUCCAAAGUAGUACGAGCAAUAGAAACUUUGAUCCGUUGAUAUCUUCCUCUCUCAACUCCUAACACAUCUGCCAGCAUAUUUAUAUCCACAACAAAGUCUUGAUCUUUGACACUGAAGGAGAAUCUAUUCGCAUCCAAGAAACUAAGAUUUGAAUAGAAAUAAGCAGUUAGUUGAGGAUAGGCUUCUGUGGUGUCAGAGCAGAAUUUCUCAAGUUGAAGAUGACCAAACUUUUCCCUUAAGUUCACAUUUACAGCAUCUAGAAAAUCAAAAUCCACACUCCUAGGGUUUAUCACCCCACGCUUCAGCAAUUUUGAGUAUAGAUCCAUCUGUUCCUUUGAUCUAAACAACUCUCCCAUUUUUCCUUGAUUUUCCGCCGCAAUUCCCAUUCUUGGCUGAAAUUCGCUGUAUAAUUUGUCAUCAUCAUUUCCAUCCACUGGAUUAACUCCCCAAUCACGAGGGUCACUUGGGAUAUUCGCAAGGGAUUCUUCUGCCACACCCUUACGAGCAAUUCCAAACUUUCCAUUUUUCGCAAAAAGAUAUAUUUAUUUCCAUAUCCUUUGUCCUUAAGAAAAUCAUCCACAUAGUUUAAUGGAGUACAAGUCCCUUUUAAAGCACGAUACAACUUAUAAAUAAAAGAGGGCCUUUGAACUCUUACAGGAUCUGCAUCUUCAAUGAUUUCUUCAUUUUGAUGAUGAUCAACAUCUUGAGGACUAGAUGGAGGAGAAUGACGCUGCUGAGAAUGUUGUGGGCUCUGCUGCUGAUUUGGAGACACUUCUUCUUCAGUGAGAUCGAAGUGCGUAGGCCCCUCACUCAUUCGUCGUAGUCCCCUGCUUGCAAUCCUCGAUGACUUUCUUGAAGACGACAUCUUUCUUAGUCUUUGAGAGAUUCCUUGCUUGACUUUCCCAAGAAAGAUGACAACUUUUUCGAAGAUUAAACAAGAGAAGAAAACAGGAAUGGAAGAUUGGUGCUUUUUAGGGUUUUGGAGUUAAGCGAAGAGAAACCGACUGUAUAUAAGACAGUCGAAAGAAGGGGAUACCAAUCGUCGUAAUGGAAAGUGAAAAGAUUCCUUUUAAAAAAAUAACUGCCUUUUUCGAAAAAUGGUCAUUUCAAAAUAACUUCUUUAUCUAAAGGAAACGAUGCAAUAAUCUCGUCAAUUAAAGAUAGCAGUUGAGAUAACAAUAAUCAACACAGUUGAUGAACGUACCUUUUCAAGAUGAGAUUAGAGAGAUAAUAACUUACAGUCAAAGUCUUGCAGUCAAAGUCUUAUAUGUCUGAGUCUGAGAGUCUCUAGACUUUAACUUCUUCGAACCUCAAAAUGUUGAGUUUGGAACGGAUAAUUUCAAAUUGAUUUUUCUCCAAAUGCUUUGUAAAUAUAUCCGCCAGUUGAUUCUUUGAGUCAACAAAAUGAAUCGCAAUUUCUCCAUUUUGAACAUGAUCUCUAAUGAAGUGAUGUCGAAUUUCUAUAUGCUUUGCUCUUGAGUGAAGAAUUGGAUUUUUGGUGAGGUUGAUAGUGCUGGUGUUGUCACAUUUAAUCUCCGUGCAUGAAUCUUCAAUUCCAAAGUCUCUUAGCUGUUGUUUUAUCCACAGAAUUUGUGAACAGCAACUUCCAAGAGCUACAUAUUAUGCUUCUGCUGUAGAGAGGGCUACUGUACUUUGCUUUCUUGAAAACCAAGACACUGUCCUGCCUCCAAGUAGUUGACAGGUACCUGAGGUGCUCUUUCUAUCAACUCUGCAACUGGCUAAGUCUGCGUCUGAGUACCCAAGAAGAGUAAAGUCUCCCCUUUUAGGAUACUAGAGACCAAAGCUUGAAGUUGAUGCAAUAUAUUUGAUAAUACGCUUUGUAGCAUUUAAAUGUGAUUCUUUAGGAUCUGCUUGAAAUCUGGCACAAAUGCAAACACUAAAUAAAAUGUCAGGUCUAGAAGCAGUAAGAUAAAGAAGUGAACCGAUGAUACUCCUGUAUAACUUUUGGUCGACUUUCUUUCCUCCUUCAUCUUUAUCUAUCUUCACGGAGCUUGACAUUGGUAUAUCGGCCUUUUUGCAAUUGUCCAGUCCAAACUUCUUCACAAUAUCAUUAGCAUAUUUUUCUUGAUGAAUAAAAGUUCCUUCCUUCAGUUGUUUUACUUGAAGUCCAAGGAAGAAGGUUAACUCACCCAUCAUGCUCAUUUCAAAUUCAUCCUGCAUAGUCUUAGAGAAUUUCUUGCAUAGACUUUCAUUAAAGGAUCCAAAAAUAAUAUCAUCGACAUAUAUUUGAACAAGUAGAAAACUCUUGCUUUCUCUUUUAAUGAAAAGAGUAGUGUCUACUUUACCUUUAACAAAUCCAUUUUCAAUUAAAAACUUACUCAGUCUGUCGUACCAAGCUCGAGGAGCUUGUUUCAAGCCGUAUAAAGCCUUUUUGAGUCUGAAUACUGAGUCUGGUUUCCUUGGGUCUUCAAACCCGGGUGGUUGUUCAACAUAGACUUCCUCUUGGAUGAAUCCAUUUAGGAAGGCACUUUUGACAUCCAUUUGGAAUAACCUGAAAUUCUUAUAACAAGCAAAAGCAAGUAAUAAUCGAAUUGCUUCUAACCUUGCUACUGGUGCGUAAGUCUCAUCAUAGUCUAUCCCUUCUUCUUGUGUGUAUCCCUUGGCCAUGAGUCUUGCCUUGUUUCUUAUGACUUUUCCUUUCUCGUUCAUCUUGUUCCUGAAAACCCAUUUAGCUCCAAUAACAGACUUACCUUUUGGUUUAGGAGUCAAUUCCCAGACAUCAUUAAUAUUGAAUUGCCUGAGUUCUUCUUGCAUAGCUUCAAUCUAGCUUUCAUCAGAUAAAGCUUCUUCUAUGCUUUUGGGUUCUCUUUCAGAAAUAAGAGCCAUAGCACUAGACUCUACGCGCCUUUUGGAUCUUGUGCAAAUUCCUUCAUUGAUGUCGCCAAUAAUAAGAUCUUUGGGAUGACUGGACUUAUGUUUCCAAUUGCUGGUUAAUUUGUCAGAUUGAUGGUCACUUCCUUCACUUGAAUCUUCAACAAUCACUUGUUGCUGGUCCUUCAAAGUCUGAGCUGUUUUAGACUUUGUAGAUUCUAGAGCAGGUUCAGAUUCUUCAAAUUGAGUCUGAAUGGAUUCAUUUUGCAUAGAGUCUUGGAAUUUAACAUUCAUUGAUUCUUCCACUGUUUGAGUCUUCUUGUUGUAGACUCUGUAUGCUUUGCUUGUGGUUGAAUAUCCAAGGAAGAUGCCUUCAUCUGAUUUUUCUUCAAACUUACCAACUUGAUCAUUUGCAUUUUUCAGUAUAAAACAUUUGCAUCCAAAUACAUGAAAAUAUGAAAUAAUAGGCUUCUUUUCUUUGAAUAAUUCAUAGGGGGUUUUUUCCAGAAUAGGCCUUAGAAAAACUCUAUUUAUAAUGUAACAUGCUGUAGAAACUACUUCAGCCCAAAAACAUGAAGAGAUGUUACUUUCAAUUAAAAGAGUUCUAGCCAUUUCUUGAAGAGAUCUAUUAUUUUUUUCCACAACUCCAUUCUGCUCUGGAGUAUAUGGAGAGGAGAAUACAUGCUGAAAACCAGAUUCAUCAUAGAAUUUUGUAAAAUCAUGAUUUUCAAAUUCACCUCCAUGAUCUGUUCUUAUACUCGAGAUAACAUACCCUUUUUCAUUUUGAAUCUUUUUAGCAAACUUUUCAAAGUAAGAGAAAGUUUCAGACUUACUUGCCAAGAAAUAUACCCAAGUAAAUCGUGAGUAAUCAUCCACAAUUACUAGGCAGUACUUCUUACCUCCAAUGCUUUGUGUUCUGGUUGGUCCAAAAAGAUCCAUAUGCAGAAGCUGCAGUACACGGUUAGUGGAAACUUGAUUUAUUGGUUUAAAGGAAUUUCUUACCUGUUUUCCCAAUAUACAUGGUGUACAUAGAUCAAACUUUUGGUAUGAUAAAUUGGGUAGACCACAAACAAGCUUCUUUGCUGAGAUUUUGGCUAUUUGCUUCAUGUUGACGUGCCCAAGCUUUCUGUGCCAUAAGUUUGCUUCGUCUUGGAUCGAGAUCAGACAUUGUGAUUCAUCUGGUUUCACAUCCAAGAGGUAGAUAUUUCCAUGUCUUCGACCCAUGAAUGACUGAGUAGAAUCUUUACUAAUUCUAGAACAUAUUCCCUCUUGAAAGUUGAUUUUGAAACCAGUAUCACAUAGCUGACUAAUACUGAGCAAAUUGAAUUGAGCCCUUCCACUAAGGAAACAUUGCUGAUUGUGAGAUUUCCAAUCUUUACAGUUCCAAAUCCCACAAUUUUUCCUUUGCUGUUUCCUCCAAAAGAGACUUUUUCACCAUUUACUCGAACAAUCUUUAUGAAGUAAUUUGAGUCUCCUGUCAUGUGUCUUGAGCAUCCACUAUCAAGAUACCAUUUUACCUUUUUCUUGAUAGUGACCUACAUUUAAAAAAGAAACUCAAACCUUCUUUGGUACCCAUAUUUUCUUGGGUCCAUUGGUGUUAGUUUGAUAUACGGUUUUUGCCCAUUCCUUUUUAACAGGUUUCCAAAUCAUGGAACAUUCUUUUUCAAAAUGAUCUGCACUAUUGCACUUUGAGCAUUUGAGAGUAUUGCGACCUACUGGUUUUACAAAGAUCCUUUUAAAAUGACUUUUGUAAGCAUCUCUUGUGGGUCUUUGUUUGAUUCUUUCCUUUACUUUAGGGAAAUCAAUUAAAGGAAUGGUUUCAGCAGUCAUUCCCAAACCAGAUUUAUUGAAAUAAGGUCUUUGAACAGAGAGAAUUUUUUCCAGUUUCUCAGAUCCUAUAGAAAAUCUUUUGGAAAUAUUUGAGAUAUCAUUUUUCAAGAAUGCAUUUUCUUUUAAAAGAUUGUCUUCACUUUCUUUAAGAGAAUAAGCAUUCUUGUCUAAACAUUUCACUUUUUCUUUCAAAAUAUUUUCCUGUUGUUUUAGAGCAUAAUUUUCUUUCUUGAGUUCGGAAAUUCUUUUGAGAGAAGUCUUAAGACUAAAACACAAUUCAUCAAUAUACUUUGAAACCUUAAUAGGGAUUUUGAAGUUACUUACCUCAAAUUCGCUUUCUGAGUCUGAAUCUAUCUCGGAAUUUGAAUCUGAAUCCGAUUGAGCCAUCAGACAUAUAUUGGCAUAUUCAUCAUCACUUUCUUCACACUCUGUAUCACUCCAGGUUUCAGCUUUAAGAGAUUUUCGAUACUUUUCAGUUUUUCCUUUCUUCUUCCUCAGAAGAGGACAGUUGGGUCUAAUGUGUCCCUUUUUCUUGCAUUCAAAGCAGACUACAUCCUUGUUUGAUUCAUCAUCCCUUUUGAAAACUUUGUUUCUUUGGAUUGAAUCUUCUUCCUUUUCUAUUCAGCUUUCUGAAUCUUCUUAUCAUGAGAGCAAGUUCCUCAUCAUCCAUAUCGUCUUCAGAAUCUGUAACAUCAAAAUCAUCAUUAGAUUUUAAUGCAAUGGAUUUCUUACCUUUAGGGUCUUCGUCUUCAUUGAUUCGCUCCACUUCAUAAGACUGAAGAGUCCCAACCAACUCAUCAACAGAUAGUGGCAUGAUUCUUUGGGUCUCUCUGAUUGAGGUCUUUAUGUGAUUCCAAUCCUUGGAGAGUCCACGCAGUAGCUUGUUUACUUUCAUGGGAUUAGAAAUUGGUUGACCUUGGUUUUCAAGACCAUUCACGAUUUCUGUAAAGCGACUGAACAUAUCCGUUAUAGAUUCUCCUGGUUUCAUUUUGAAGGCUUCAUAUUGACCGAGGAGAAUGUUGAUUCUAGUCUCUUUCACUCGAUCGGUUCCUUCAUAGGUAAUAUGUAAUUUAUCCCAGACUUCUUUAGCUGUAACACAAGAAGAUAUUCUAUUAUAUUCAGUACGGGAUAAAGCACAAUAUAAAGAAUAAAUUGCUUUUGCAUCAAGAGCUUGUCUCUUGAUUUUCUCUUCCUGAGUCAUUUCGCUAGACUCAACAACAUAUUUUCCUCUUUCUGAGACAGAUGCAGCUUUAGGAAUGAUUCCUUUUUCUACAACAUCCCAUUCCAGAGGAUCCUUUGAUUUUAGGAAUGCUUUCAUCUUGUUCUUCCAUAUGUUGUAAUCAUUUCCAUCAAAAUAAGGUGGUCUGGUAUUGCUUUGCCCUUCUACCAGUCUUGGAGCCAACAUACUAGCCAUGGAUAUUUAACUCUGAAGUAAAACACUUCAACAUACACAAGCUCUAAUACCAAUUGAGAUAGCUAGUAUAAGCACCUAGAGGGGGGUGAAUAGGUGCACAAACAAAUUCUCGAGAUACGGAAGCGAUUCUAGGCAAACGAUAGAAAGAAAAUGCGAUCAAAGUGAAGUAAAGGUUAAGGAAGAGAGAAAUGAACACAAGAUUUAUAGUGGUUCGGCUUAUUCCAAGCCUACAUCCACUCUUCCGCACUGACAGCCCACCGGCUGGAUUUCACUAUGAACAAAAGAGAAGUUACAGCACAGCUUUUCCUUGAUUCCACAGUGUAGAAGUUCUACCACACUUCCUCAAGGUUUCUCACGAAUAUAAACUCUCUUUUGUUUACACGAUUUUGCUCAACAAAUGAAUUGACUAAGAACAAGGAGCUUCAGACUUUGGAAUUCUUCUAUCGUGCACACACUCGAACAACUGGAACGUCUUCCUUAUAUACUCCUUCAUGCCAUUAUACCCGUUGGCACUUACCAAAGGAAUUCCUCGAAUCUACUCGUUGGACGGAAUCAAUUAGGAAGAUCAUUCGAGCUAUUAAAGGAACAUGUCGAUAGCCCAUCAAUCCUGUUCGCCCAUACAAUCAGGAUCUCGGUUUCCAUAAGUAGAACCUUCCAAGUAUACUUUGCCAAUCAUCGGAUCCUUAAUCUUCGAAUCAAUUAUGAUCAAAUAAAGAAUUCCGUUAUGUCAUAUCCAGCCAAGAGAUCUUCUCAAGUCGAUAAGGCCACAUCCUUAAUGAAACAUCCAGUUCUGGAUAGCCUUUCUUCAACGGAUUAGAAACUGUCAAUGAAGAUAGACUUUGAGUCUUGAGUAUGACUGUCCGGAGGUCUUUAGACUUUAAAUAGCAGAGUCUGCAAGCCUUCAGACUAGACUAAUAGAAACGUUUUGUCAACUUCAAAACACUUCAAGAGGAUUUCUCCAACAAAAUAUAUGUUACUAUUUAGGAUGUCCCAAACUUUUCUUCAGAAUAAAAUUCCUUCAAAAUCGCAACACACAGUUGUCUGCGAAAUUAGCAAAACACACACGUCCUGGAAACUGUUUUAGAAAUCAGCUACUGUUCUAGUCCGAAUCUUCUUCCACGACAUUUAUCUUGCUCUCUAAACCCUAUCUAAGCUUUUCUAUGGCCAUCAUAACAUCCCUAACCAACAUCUAUCCAUAUAUAACGCCAUCUACAUAUUUUUAACUUGUACGAAUUCCUAAUAGUGGUACUCAACCCCUAGUCCAGAUUUAGAAGACAACUCACCACUGAAACUAAUGGCGAUCCUCACUUGUGGCCGGACGGCAACACAAGGACAGCCCUGGAAGUUUUUGAUGAUGAUUUGGACCCGGCACAACGGCUGGAGAUGUCGUUGAGCGACCACCACAGCAGCACACAAAGUCCCGAAUUUUCUUGAGGAGGGAGGAACGCUCGAGACCUUACUGUUCGGUCACUGCUUUGUCGUCCAAGGGGGAGCAAGAAUGGCCGAAUAAACUAACCUAAAUAAGAAGAAGACAAGACUUUUUAUGGCUGUGAAAGGGAAAGGAAAUUGUUGUAAGGUUGGAUAAGGGAAAGAGAGAGGCAGGUGCACGGCAGCAGGAGAGAAGAAAUAAGUGCGGAAGAAAAAGAAAAGAGGGUAAAGCAAAAGACUAAGACCCUUCAGCUGAGAGAAAAGAAAGGAAAGAAAAAUAAAGAACAAGAAAGAAAGGGAAAAAGUAAAAGGGAAAGCAACCCAUUUGCUACUGCACUUCGGUUUCCUACGACAAGAAGAGAAGAGAAAGGUGGGGAGUAAAUGCCUGGAAGUUACUCAGCAUUUACCUUCUGCUUUUGGACCCAAAUUCUAUGGAAAAUUGGCUCUCUAUUACUACCUUAGGUCCCACUCUCUUUUCCAAGUCCAUCUCUAUUAAAUACUAAAGAAAUUGAGGUGAAAUUGUAGGAGAGAGGGAUUCCUACGAAUUUCCUUUUGAGGAGACUUCUCUUCUUUCUUUAAUUACCAAUCUAACAUCUAAUUCAAUAGGGCCAAGUCCCUUAGUAACAACUUAUAAUACCUCUUAAAUUGCUUCACAUUAAAGGCCUUAAAAUCCUACUUAAAAUGUGGCAAUUCUCUUGCUCUUUUAAUUUGCUGAUCUUGCACAUUUCGUGAACAAUUCCCAUCAUCAAUAAAUUUUGAGAAGAUGCAACAAUGUCCUUGGGAUGAAUUGUGACACGUGACAAUUCUUAAUUUCUGUAAUCGACAUCAUUUCCUCGGUUAAUUUAAGUCAAAUGUGAUUUUAGCGCAACCUAAAUUAUCGGUUAGUUUUUAGGAAUUUUCGGUGCAACUGACCCGUGGUCGAUUAUUCCCGAGCCACGAUGUACAUCUUCGACGCAUUGACGACUCUCGAUUGUCGUGAAAAAUCUCGAGGUUUCAAUUAUGAGCACAUGGUACCAAAACAACAGAAAAUUCAGUUUAGUGCCGAUCGACGAGAAAUUUGUAAUUAGUUGGAAUCACCCAAGCCUAAUUUUAUCUCUAUCGAAUCGACCUAUUUCCAAUUUCUGAUAGAUUUUCGACUGUGCCGAACUAAUCCUUGUAGACUAACAUAGUCGAGCAGUCGAUUCCUGGUCGAAUUCUCAAGUCUGUUGCAUCAAAAUCCUUUAAUAACUUUCCCGAUUAAUCAAGUUAUCUCAUGAGUGAUCAGCUCAGAGAAUAGCGCUAUAAGCACGUCAAUGAAAUGCCCGAUUUAUUUAAUUGAAAACAGAAGUGGAAAAUCAGACUGUCACACCACCAGCACUCUGGUGCGCCACCUGACUAAUUUGCUGUUAAGUUUCACAACACCAUCAUAGGAUUGAGUGUACUAAGAAUCGGUACAUCAAUUGCAUAUGCAAAUUACAAACUUACCUUGCAUAAACUGAAUACCAGAGCCACUGGUACUGUGGCCAAUCGAGACCCAAUCCCCUGGUAGCUCAGCUGCAGUUUGUUCUCCUCCCAAGGGUGCAAAUUGCCCGAAAUGCUUGUACCUUAAUGAAUGAUUAGACUUUCAACCAUCACGGCGACAUAACUCCACUGUCUACUUCUAAUAUGUGGGUUGGAGAAAAGUAUUACCAUGCAACGGUUGAUGUUAUGUCACAUCAGCGCUAUCACUCACCAGGAUAUCUAUUUUGCAACCCACAUGUUUCUUUUGCAAAAUAAUUCAUCAAAAUUAAGACCUGUUUGUCUGCGAUGAUCCUUAUGCACUAUUAGCAUCAAAUGAUGUACCUCGAAGAAAGGCUAAUUAUUCUCUUAUUUAUGUUUGACUGGGAAAAGAAAGACUGCAUAUGGGAGGUCUAAUGAUAUAAAAGAAACGACAGAGCGACAUACAUAUCCCAUCCAGUAUGUCUAUGCAUCCAGAGAACAUAUUGGUUGGCGGAGAUGGUGUCAAUAAGAACAAUGGACCUAUUCAUGAUUAUGAAAGAUCUACUUAAAUAAUCUAACCUUGAGGUUCGUUCUGUAGUUCAAUUGUAACAUAAAGCACUUGUUUUCCUGGAAGAGAAGCUUAUUGUACCUGAAGGGAUGAAACCGAUGACGUCCUGCAACCCUGAACCUCAGAGGACCUUCGGGAUUCUUUUCGCACUCAUCCAUGCGAUUGAAACAGUCGGCGAGAUAUUCAUCUUGUUGAGCAGCCACCUUUGCCAUUUACAGCACAUGUAGAUGUUGGUACUAUAAAACAAGAACGACAAAAAGAAGAAAGGAGAAGAGAGUAAUUGUACUUGAGCUGUUGCAGGAAGAUUUUUCAUCUGAGAAUCCACUUCAGCAAGGGCUAACUUAAACAGUUCAAUAUCCAGUUGGAGAGUUUGCGUUUCGCUGUCAGCAUGCUUGAGUAGAUCAACAAAGUUCCUCAUGUUUUUCUUCUUCAAGUAUAGCUGCACUUGUGGAUACCGUUCGCAGAUGUCCGCAACAACUUCUUUUGCAUCUUGUAUACUCAGCUUACCUGUCUUAGACUUAUCUGCCUUACUGAAUAUCGCUGCAAUAUCUUCCUGAAAAGAAAGGAGUACUUAACAAAAAUAAAUUUGAUGAAGUAACAACUGCUGAGAGAAAAAUGUCUUAUACUGUACAGACUUGAAACUAGUAAUCCAAAAAAUAUGAGCUCAGUCCACUCUAACAUUCUGAAUAAACCAUGACACAUUACAACAACGGUUUGACAUAACCUUCGAUAUCGACUAUCCCAACUCAAGUUAGUUGAGUGUAAUGAAGAUUUUCUGCACAAAGGCUGACGAGAACAGCUGAAUGAAGCAAAAUCAGGAAUUGUGUCCCCUUGUUAUAAAGGUUCUAACUGGUCAAUAUAAAAAAAAAAAUGUUUCCUUUUGUACAAAUAUUCAAGAUAUAGGUGACUAGAGAGAAAAGACCUUGAAUAUUGGAAACUAGUUGUUUAUCUAGGCUGGGCGUUGCACAGAUCAUUAUAUAAAAAUAUAACUAAAAUAGAGUGGGAAACAUUUUAGCAUAAAUACAACAUGAUUUUAACGUAACAUUAGCCGUAAAAGGUACACAUAAAACUAAACAUCAAAUUACAAAAAAUUAAUUAAUAGAUAAGUAAAAAUUCACAAACAUGAUACAUAAUAUUAUAUAUCAUAAACAUUAUACUAAUUCCAAAAUGUACAUAAACAAUAAUAGAAAUUUUAUCUACCAACUAAUAUGGGGAGAACUUUAAAUUAUGUUAUUAAGCAUAAAAAAAUUGUUAAAAAAAAUGAGUUGCAAUGUAAUAGUAAAAUGAUGAAAAGAGAGGAGAAGGGUGAUGCCAAUAAGUUCAGUGCAUACAUGUCUUGCUACUUUUUUGGAGAAAGCACCAAAACCUUUCUUCUUCUUUUUUUUAAUUAAGAAAAUCGAAUUCUCACGUCUUACGAACCUAAGUGACGCACUUAAAAGAAGACUUUGUUUAAGACGGAGGUUUAUGCAAAAGCAAGAUUUCUUACCAUGACUUUUCGUUGAUUGAUCGUUGCACAGUCAUCACCAAGAGCGUAUAUGCUAUCACAUCCAUCAACUCUCAGCCAUUCAUCAGUGGCAAUCGCACGCCUGUUAGUCUGAUCACGAAUGGCAAAAGGAAUGUUCACAAGCAAGAGAAAGCUGUAGAUGGAGGAAGAAACCAAUUGCUAAGCAACAAACCUGCCCAAUUUGCUUCAUGAAUUCCAUAAUGAAAGGCCGAGUCCCGAUACCAGUAGACCAGACAGCCAUUCCGUAAGGAAGAGAAACAAUGUGGACAGUCCCUCUUUCCUUUAUGGAAAUUUCCUUCUCGGACACUUUGACUACCAUGGAGCCCGUCUUGACAUUGAUGUCCUCUCUUUGAAAUUUCUGUUCCGCGAAAGCAGUGAUUCUUUUGUCAAACCUAAAAUAGUAAGGCCUAGAAGCAUUAGCCACAUAUCAAAGACAGCCAACUUCGUCGCGUGAGAUAUUUUAGGUGAUCAUGCAAGCAAAACAAAAAAGGCCACUGAUCACCGGUUACGUUACUGCUAAUAGAACCAAAAGAGGCAAUUACUGUAAAUGCCUUUUCUUUGGAACUCCCUCUUUGCUAAUCUGCAGCUCGUGAUUUAUUCCAAACGGUCAGCAAUUUAAAUAUAGAAGAAAAGCUAGCUUUUAAAAUGGAGAAUAUAUUUAGUAAAAAAUGUUAUAAAAAGAAAAUAUAGAUUGAAAGGAUCACUGCUGGUCAGAGGGUAAACUGGAGACUUCUACUUUGUGAAGUGCUAAAUUUCUCCAACGACAGGACGAGCAAAACCGGGAGUAAACUUUCCACUUGAUCAAAGAAAAAUUUUGAUGCUAACCUAAGAAACAAAAGUGUAGUCCACACACAGAAACAGAUGAAAUCACAUAAUUCUACUCACAUGUUCAAAAUAUGAUCUGCUUCAAGAAGUGUAAUCUUCAUACGGUUUUUGACUUCUGGAUAUACCCGGGCAAGAUCUUCGCAAAGUCAUGAAGCUCUGCCGCAAAUUCCACCCCUGCUGGACCACCACCAACGACAACAAAAUGCAUAAUCCUAUUCUCACCUUUACUUAAUAAUUACUGGGAACGAUAUGGAGUGGAAUUGAGUGAAGAGAAGCAUAUUUAUGUUUUAACUCAACCCACUAUCCAAUUGAGAAGCACAUUGAUAUGAUGACAAAGUAAAUCAAAUCAACAUCUUAUCUUGGUGAUAUAUACCUUCAAGAAAUGGGUAUUCUCCUCGACACCAGGUGUGUUGAAUGUAUUUGCACGGGCUCCCACAGCUAUUAUGAGAUAGUCAUAAUCUAUUGCAAAUUCUUCUUUCCCUACUAGGUUCGAAGCUUGAGUAGAUUGACAGUAAAUUUUCUUCUUUUCUGCAUCAAUCUCGUAACAUUCAGCUUCUCUAUAUUCACAAUGGGGACCUUUCUGCCAUUAGAUACAAAAGGAACAUCUCAGUCUAUCACCCCAACUUAUCUGGACAAUAACCCAACGAGGAGCCUGAAAGGAGUAUGAGAUCCACAUUUUGUCAAAACUUAUCAAGCAUACAUAUCCAUCCUGUAGGAGCAACACAAUUUGUGCUGGAAAAUGAAAAGAAGAAGAAGCUCAUAAUUCUCUCCGGAAUCUCUGAAAGCACUUCAUUAGUCAUCUGCGACAACUACCUUGCUAACAAUAUUUCGGAUUGGUUCGACAAUACUACGUGCUUCCACCGUGCCAUUUGUGAUUCUUGGUAAGAUGGGCGUGAACGCAAAAUAAUUACGUGGCGCAACUACUUCUACUUCAUUAAUGAAUUCUUCAAAUUCUUCAAAAAGCUGGUGGCAGCCCAUCCGGUUCCAAGCACAACCACCUUCUUUUUGGGGCAUUGACCUUGCGCUGAAUCAGCAUAGGCGACAGGGAAUGGAGUCGUAUCCGAGAAUGCUACUAUACACCCACCACUGCAGCAAAACAGACAUCAAGUUUGCUUUGAGAGAGCAGAGAUCAUUGUGUAGCUACAUGCAUUAUCGGCAACAUUUACGGAUCUAAAGAGCUUAAUUUUACAGAGAGAGCUUGACAUUUGAAGACUAACUCAGAAGUUGAUUUAGUGACAUUUUUCAACAUAGAGCGGCAGAUUGCGAACCCAGCUCAAUUUCCACUAACGAGUAUCUAAUUCAUUUGAUAUAACAGUAAAAGAACCGAAUAGAGCUGUUCGCGAGCGGUAAGCUGUGAUAGCGGCUCACUUGACGUUCCAAACACCUCGCAAAACCAUUACUCUAAACAACAUGCAAACAACAACAACAACCGCAACCGACGCAAGCAUCACGAGGCAUUCAUCAGCAAAAUCUGUUAAAUUAUGUCUUGAGUUUUUCGCUGGAAAAGAGGAAAUAUAAAAAUAAAUGAAAAUAAAGUUUCCUCUUUGCCGCACGGAAGCUUGCGGAAUCCGAAUUGAAGAAAAACAAAGAAGCAGCGUCCCACUCACUCGGCUUUGUAGAAUUAAAAGGGAAAGUCAAAUCUUUCUCUUUUGUUGACCAAAUCUUGGAUUAUGCGAUUUCUUCACGCAUGCAAUUCGCUGGCGGUGGAAUAAAUAAUUCUUUUGCAGGUCUUUUAUUAUUUAGUAAGUGGCCGCUUGAAACCCUACGUGAAAGAGGAGCCGCCGAAGGAUUCACGUGGUGAAGCAGGCCGCCGAGAGGGAGGAAAGCCACGCCGUUUUACUCUGAGUGCUGUGGGUGUUCUGUUCGUGAGAGACAUUCAUAGGUGCUGGGUGCUUGGCUUUGGGUCUUCGUAUUUCUCGUGCGGCAAAACUUAUUCGUGAUUUACAUCCAAGUAAGAUUGAUGUAUUUGGUGUAAUUGGGGUUUGGAAAACACCGAGAGAGUGUUUGAAUGACUUGAGUGUGUAAUCUCUUUGUAUCGCUUGAUCUAUAGUGAAAUUCGCUGCUGCUCUCCCCGUGGACGUAAGUCUUUACAACUGAACCACGUAAAUCCGGUGUCCAAUUUAUUUUAUUCUUUUGUCUAUAUUUUGUUCGAUCGCUCGCCCCAUCGCAACAAAAUCCACGACUCGUCGACCGAAGCAAGACGCGCAGCUACAUCGCUCAUCACGAUGGACAAAACUCGAUCAAGUAGUGCAGGAAAACACCAGAAACGUGACUUUUUCUCUCUAUCCCUGGGAGAGAUCUCCACCAAAAAAAUUAAAAAAACGAACACAUUUGGGUCAUCGUCUUGGUAGACAGCGAUGGAGGCUUUACUAACAUUUUCCAUUUGCUUCACUUACCCCUCCCUUCUAACUUAAUGCACGUGAUACAUGCCCUUGUCUCCUUUCCAUAGCGACUGGUCGCUGCAAACCUUAACAAUCGACACCACAAGUAGUUUAUAGAAAUAAUCUGUUAAGUCAUGUGUUGUUGCUUAAUAAUUGAUUUUCUUCCGUGUGUGUUCCUUAACGGUCAUGUGGAUGUACAAUUUCCUGACAAGUUAUGUAUGGGUGCAAAUUUUGUAUGUAUAGGAGGACAUAAACUUGUUGAAAGCAAUGGGAUGGGAUUUCUUCAGAUUCUCCAUCUCGUGGCCUCGUAUUGCACCUCGUAAGCUCACUCUCAUGCACCCUCCUUUUGUCUUAUUCCGACAUGAUUAGGCUCCUCCUGUUAACAUCAAGGAAAAAUAUGAUCCUUCGUACACCAUGUAGACCAACACCAUUCGGUUCGAGACUCACACAUCGUUAAUGACUCGAUGCGUGUAAUUAUGUGCCUUCCUGACCAUUGUGCCCACAACAGAUUCCUAUAUAUUCUCUUUGGUCUCUCUACAUUUUUAAUGAGUCAUGCCGAAACAAAUAUGAAUUGCGGUUUUUCCCUGUACUCAGCUCUUGUAUAUGCACUAUGAAGCGUAUAAUUAUAUCAUUCGGAUGGUAUCUUUUGUAUACUGGAUGGGAAGAUAAGCAAGGGAGUCAAUGAACAAGGUGUCGCCUUUUACAACAAUCUCAUCGACAGCCUACUUGCUGAGGGUAACCCCUACUGUCUAGUCCUUCACGACUCAUUGAAUUGCUCUUUCCAACGUGUACUAAACUUUGAGCAGGCAUCCAACCUUUUGUGACAUUGUUCCAUUGGGAUGUUCCCCAAGCACUUGAAGAUGAGUAUGGCGGGUUCCUGAGUAUUAAUAUUGUGUAAGCCUUCAAAUAUUGUUGACUUGGAGUUUCUAAAAAUUGUGUGUACACGCAUCCCUUGAACUGAUUGCCGAUCUUAAUCAAGUAACACGUAGAUCAUUUGGGUUAUUUACUAGGGAGGACUACAUUGAUUAUGUAAACUUUUGCUUUCAAAAGUUUGGUGAUAGAGUGAAGCAUUGGGUGACACUAAACGAGCCCAAUUACUUUACAAUGUAUGGGUAUGCGAUGGGCAUCUAUGCACCUGGUCGAUGAUGUUCUAGUUACAUAAAUAACUGCACAGCCGGAAAUUCAGCAACAGAACCUUACAUCGUUGCGCACCAUUUGCUUCUUUCUCAUGCAGCAGCAGUGAAACUGUACAAGGACAACUAUCAGGUACAUGGACACCUAUCUCGGUGUAUUCCCCUUAUUCUUUCGGCAAACUACUGACUUGGAUAUGCAUGUUUGGACUUGACUAAUUGUUUCGUGUUUUGAUACAUAAUCAGGCUGCUCAAAAUGGGAAAAUAGGCAUGGUCAUUGCAACUUACUGGAUGACCCCUAAGUAUUCAACGAUCGUCAGUAGGAAGGUUGCCUCUAGAGCUUUUGACUUUCAGUUUGGAUGGUAUGUAUUUUAUUUAUAAGAAAGUAGGUAGCCUUUAUGAGAUGCUAGAUAAGCAUUAUGAACGAGUCACAGAAGCGACUGAUCUAGCAAUUGUACCUCAACGAACAAGUUCCUCAGCAAUUUUGUGUGUCCCAUUAGUAAGUGCAUUGCGCGUUGAUGAUGCAAGGUUUGCCCAUCCUAGUACCUAUGGUGACUAUCCAAAGUCAAUGAGGAGAUAUGUGGGCGAGCGGUUACCCAAAUUCACGAAAGCACAGUCGGAGGCACUAAAGGGUUCUCGUGACUACACGGGGGUAAAUUAUUACACGGCAAGAUACGUGGACAAAUCCGCAUCCCCUUUUACCACUCUCAAUCUAAGUUACACCACCGAUUGUCAUUGUAAUAUAACCAGUAAGCAUGCACCACCAUUGCCCAAAUAUUUUACCCCUAGUGUUCUUCUUCAAUUGAUUCCCUAACGAACUUUGUUUAUUAUCUAUGAUGCUACUAGUUGAGAAAGAUGGAAUUCCGAUCAGCCAACCGGUAAUGUGUCUACACAAGCAUGAGAAAGAAUUUUAUACAUAAUCAAUUGUUCACGCAUUAAUCACAUGCUAAGCAUAAUGCUAAUAUAGAUAUCAACUAAACAAAAUUGCAGACUGCCGCGGAGUGGCUGUACAUAUACCCAAAGGGUAUCAGAGAGUUGAUGCACUACGUGAAGAAAAACUAUCAGGAUCCGACCAUUUAUGUGAUCGAAAAUGGUAAAUAAAUGUAUCUAUGUCACUAAUGAUGACAUUGCUUGGGUUGACGGAUCACCUAGUAAUUUGCCUUCUAUGCGUUGUUUUGUCCAACCACAGGAAUGGCAGAUGCAAAUAACAAAUCGUUGCCGCUUAAAGAUGCACUUACAGAUAGAUUGAGAAUAAGUUACUUUCAGCUGCAUUUCUCAAAUCUCUCCAAGGCUAUCGAGUAAGUAAUUCGAUAUCAGUAUUGGGUACAUAGAUGGUAAACAAUGAUGAUAUUUGAUAAAAAGUACCAUACACACGAAUUCGUUGUUGACAGGGAAGGAGUGAAUGUAAAAGGAUACUUUGCGUGGAGUUUCCUAGACGACUUCGAGUGGGUGGAGGGUUAUACAACCCGAUAUGGCCUCGUUUUCGUGGAUUAUGGGAAUGAACUGAAGCGAUACAUGAAGCACUCGGCAUGUUGGUUCCAAAGUUUCCUACAAAAGGAUAAUGCAACCGUUAACUACUCCUUGCGGAGCGAUGCCUAGCAGAAGUCACUAAAGCCCAAAUCCGCAAGUCUUCCUCGCUGCUGCGUUUCCAAACCCCGUAGUCCCUUUUGGAUAUUAUAUGUACUGAUGUUCAGUUGGGCUGCUCCUCUCCUUCUCUUUUCCUACUUAAAUGAAAUAGAAGGAUGCAUUUUACACCCAAAAAGAAAAAAUUCAAGACAUCAAGAAUUGCAGGAAGCCCGUCAGUUUGAAGAAUAUCCUUUAGAUUAGGUUUUGUCUGAAUGUGAAUUUCAAAUUCGAAUAAAAUUAGAUUUCCUAAUAUCAUUACUUGUCUUUGAUUCCAAUAAAUAAACAAAAUUCAAUAUGUAUGGCAACUUAAUUGAACCAUGGAAUUAGGAAAAUAAUUUGGACCUUUAACUUCUUAGAGAUAUCAAUGAGAUAUUCAUAAAAGGAAAGCUUACUCCUUAAAAAGAAAAAAAAAAUGGAACCCUGUUGGAUUUAUAUCUUUUUAGUCUAAAAAAUUAUGUUAAGUUCUUCAAAAUUAUGAAAAAAUCGCCACAUUUUAAUUUUUAAAUGAAGUUGAUUUUUCCAAUAUUUUUAUGGAUUCAAGGUGUUCAACACUGAUAAACAUCUUAACUAAACCCCAAAAGAUAAAGAUAAGCCAUUGAAUACUAGAGGCUGAUUAUUUUCAAAGCAAAUAAUAUUUGGUUGAGUAAAUUAUUACAUGCAUGGACUUACUAGUUCAUCUAAACUCUAAGACGUAAAGUUUCGGGAAUAUUCUUCCUAGGUGGAAGACAAAAUUCACCUAGUGAGGGAGGCUUUCGGUGGAAAGGUAGAUUCCCCCAUCUCUUAGUCUCACUGGAAUGCGGCAAUUAUUUUCAAGGCAAAUUAUAUUUGGUUGAGUAAAUUAUCACAUGCAAGAACCUAAGUAUAUCCAUAAACCACUUCACCUGAACUUGUGACGUAAAAUUUUGGAAGUAUUCUUCCUAGGUGGAAGACAAAAUUCACCUAGGAACAGGGAGCCCUCGGGGGAAGUUUGAAUCCUCCGUCUCUUAGUCUCACCUAGGUGCAAUUAUUUUUAAGGCAAAUAAUAUCUCAUUGGGUAAAUUUUUACUUGCUGAGGAGGAUUGCUUCUACAAUUCGAAAAUCUUGUAUUUGACGCACAAGACUCCGAUGUGGCGAGAGCAACGCUCCCAGAGCAAACAACAAAAAGUUCUUGUCUUGGACAAUGACACCGUUUUUUUUUUCCGGUGCCAAGGCCCGCACUUUGUAUGGGCAUGUCAAUAAUCUACUUUUAAACGUGAUUUUAUAUAUAUAUAUAUAUAUAUAUAUAUAUAUAUAUAUUAUUUAAGGUUGUAAUCAUUGAUGGUAAGAAAUACCAAAUAAAAGACAUUAAUCGAUUGAAAAUAGAAAAAUGCGGCUUGAAAGUUUAAAUUCAACGUUUGCAUAAUAGAUGUGUCGUAAAUAGAUCAAAAAAGAAGAUUUUGAAAAUUAUUAGCUUCUUCACAAAUUUAAAUUCUGUUUCCUUUCUAAGAGUAUAUAAUUUUCGCUAUUUUACGUUCAUGUCUUUCAAAAUAUCACUUUUAACCAAUCUUUUGAACGUCUACAGUAAAUCUCCACAUUCUCUUUUUAUUCUAUUCGAACUCUAUUGGAAUUGUAGUGUCUUAAAUAAUCCAUUUAUCAACAAACUAAUAUAUCCAAGCUUACAAUGGUUCUUCUACAUAUCUGCUUAUUAUAUCUAGUACUUUUAUAAGCUAAUUCCAAAAAAAAAAAACACCAAUUUUAGGUUGAGUGAUAAAUUUGGCCAUCAAGUUUGUCAGAUUUUUCUCGUUUCUUGAAUAAGAUAAGAUGCAAAGCCAAAGUCCAGUUGGCCGGAUGGAUGAUUUAAGCAUGGGAUUAAUUGCAUAUCGGUGAGGUAGCCCACGAGAGAAAAUCAAACAUGUUUCAUGCACUUAAUCUUAGUCAAGUAAUUAAAGCACAGGUCUGGUCGUGAAACACGUUGGCAAGCAUUGAAAAAAAAGUAUACUUAAAUGAGAGCAGCGCAGGGACCUGUAGUAUUAUUAUUUUUUGUUGGGGUUGGUCGAGGACCUGUAGUGCGAAAGGCGCAUUUCCCCAGCAGAUCAUGUGACACGCGUUGAUCAUGCGGAGGAAUGAAGGUGAUUACCUGGAUAUCUAUCUGCAUAUCUAUAUAUAUAGUCAUCCAGGUUAAGCACGUUGAUACUCGUGGCGAGAGAGAAGCAGAGCAUAACAGAGAGAAGGAGAAGGAUGGUGAGCAAGAGCGGCAGCUCGCGAGCGAUAACGUGCAAAGGGGUGGUGUGCUGGGGAGCAGAGGAGGAAUGGAGGGUGGAGGAGAUUCAAGUGGAUCCCCCCAAGGGGAGUGAAGUGAGGAUGAAGAUGCUGUUCGCCAGCAUUUGCCACUCCGAUCUCCUAUGCUCCCAGGGUUUCCCUUUGGUCGGUUUCAUCCUUUUCCAUAUAUCCCUUCGCCUCUCUCUGUAUUAUUCUCUCUGCUCUUCUGCAGCACCACUGCUUACUCUUUCUCUGAUUCUGUCGUUAUUGCAGCCGCUUUACCCUCGAGUUCUCGGCCAUGAAGGUGUUGGGUAAAGUCCUUCUCUCUAAUUCGAUUCCUACUAAUUCUUCCUUGUUAGUUUUGUCGAUGAGGCGUUGCAUUCCAUCAGCAUAAGUUACAGCUGAUCUCAACAUGACAUGGCAGGAUUGUGGAGAGUGUUGGAGAGGAAGUAGAAGAGUUGAAGGAAGGAGAUGUGGUUAUUCCCGCGUAUGUUGGAGAAUGCAGAGAGUGCGAGAACUGCAAAUCCGAGAAGACAAACUUGUGCCUCCGAUAUCCGCUCUCUAUGAAUGGCGUGUUGCCGGAUGGCACGUCCAGAAUGUCGAUCCGAGGCCAGGCCCUGUACCACCUCCUCUCUUGCUCCACCUGGUCUGAGUACACGGUCUCCGACGCCAAUUACGUCGUGAAGGUCGACCCUGAUGUAGCUCUCCCGCAUGCUAGCUUGUUGUCGUGCGGAUUCUCCACUGGGUUCGGCGCUGCUUGGAUGGACUCUAAGGUCGAGAGCGGCUCCUCCGUGGCUGUGAUCGGCCUCGGUGCUGUUGGACUCGGGGUAUGUGAUCGGUCGUUUGUGUUACUUACUUGUGUAAUAUAUAAAUGCUGUUUUGAGAGGAUUAAUUAGAGAGAAAGCACGGCAACAGUUCAUUUGAUUUGAUCACGAGCAGGCCAUAGGAGGAGCAAGAGCGCAAGGGGCGACUACCAUAAUCGGCGUGGACAAAAACGGGAUGAAAAAGGACAAGGGAGAAGUCUUUGGAAUGACUCAUUUCAUAAAUCCAGACGAUCACAAGUCUUCCGAUGGCACGCAUUCGAAGUCCAUCUCUGAGAUGGUGAAAGACUUGACGGGCGGAGCUGGCGUGGACUACUGCUUCGAGUGCAGCGGAGUACCCAACUUGAUCAACCAGGCCCUAGAAGCCACCAAAGUGGUGAUGAAUCCAUGUCAUCGCAUCAUCGACAAAAUCACAAUCGCGCAUGCGCGCGCACACUCGCGCACGGCUAAACUUCAUCUCGGCAAGUCUCCUAACUGUAUAAUUUGAUGUGGUCAGGGGAAGGGAAAGGCAGUAGCAGUGGGGGCAGGGCUGAAACAUGUCGUGGAGAUUAAUUUCAUGGAGCUGUUGGUGGGCAGAACGUUGAAGGGAACCAUUUUUGGAGGACUCAAAAGCAAGACCCACCUGCCCCUCCUUGUCCACAAAUCCAAGGACGAGGUUCUGAUCAAGCUCUUUCAUACCCCCACCAGUUUCAGACCUUUACGCGCACAGCCACUUAACUUUUGCUUGCUCUGGUUCUGCAGGAGAUCCCCCUCGAUGAACUUCUGACCCACGAGAUGAAAUUGGCGGACGUGCCGAGAGCACGUGAGGUACUGAAGCGGUCGGACUGCAUCAAGAUUUUGAUCAAGAUUUAGUGCCCUAUUUUAUAUUUUGCCUAUUGCCUCCUGCCCUUACUUUGUCGAACUUCCUAUUACGCUACUGAGCGUGCUUUGUUUACUGUUGCACUCGCUCGUCUGAAACUCCAAUAAGAUAUAAUUGUUGGAGUUCAUGAUACAAUUUCGAGAAAUAUCUAGCAUUUAGAUAUUGUUACAUAGACUCCUCUAGGUAUCUCGACAAAACUCUAGUCUAAUAAUGGCAUUUGGAGCACACGGUCUAGAAUGAAAAGAAAAAAAAAAAAAAAAUCUCUUCACCACAGAGUAUUAUGAACGUUGACAACUCUUAACUUCAAAUUAUCCCCACACCAAGAUUUCCCUGAAGAGUCAUUGAAUGUGUUUCGUCGGUUAUUGACCCUAUAUAAAGGCUUUGUAAUCUUUCAUAAUAAAACUAUAUUUCCUCCUCCCAUCACCUUCAACGCACAAUUAUUACUUUGUUCCCUUAUUUAUUCUCUAUCACAUCACUAAUAAAAAACUGUCAUCAAUAUUAACUCCAUAGUUACGAAACAUAAUUCUAUUUUCGUUAUUGAUGAAAUCGACAAACUAGACCUUGAGUCAGUUCACAAAGCAUGCGACCUUCCAUGUUCAAGUCAAGUAUCUAUCAGACCCAACUCGAACCAAACGGUUCACUGCCCAACUCCUUUCCGCAUCCCAACCUCUCUUUAAGAAAGCUGCAUCAUAAGAUAUGAUGUUUAACCAACUUAUCUUUCCAAUUGCUGCAAUUUGCAUUAGCUUCGCUUAGUCAACCUCCAGAUGUUUAUUGAACUUUUACCCAUUCUUUGAACUGUAAUUUUUCAUUGGAAACUCUUAUCACAAAAGUAUCUUUUAGAAGUUAAACAGAAUAAUUAAGUAAACAAACGCGACAAAGCUGAGGUCGAAGCCGAGUAACAGAGUCACAAGUUUAAACCAAAACAGAACCUCGAUCACUUCAAAUCACACCCCUCAUCCACAGAAAACAAAAGACGACCAACCAUGUCACAAUUGAAUCCAACUUAUCCGGAAGUUCAACAUUUACUGUAAUGUAAUAUAUGGGCUCUUUAAUAAAUAAAUAAAUAAAUAAAAGAAAGAAAGAAAGAAAAAGGAAAAGAAAGAGUUUGAAAAGUCAAAAAGGGAGGCUGAAGAGAAUUGUGGAACCUUCGGCUGGGUUUUAAAAAGAGAGAGAGAGAGAGAGAGAGAGAGAGAAGAGCAUGGGCAGCAGCGAAAGAAACGGGAGAGGAGAGAGAAGAGAAAGGAGAAAGGGAAAAAGGGAAAAAAUUUGGUAUACACGUGAUCCGGACGCCUGAUCAAGCCGACUCAAGUGUGUUUAGUAAUGUCGGUAAGAAAUCGAAGUCUUUAAUCACCUACUUGAAGCAAUCGCCGCAAUUAGGGCUCGAAAUUCGGAUUUCUUGGAUAUUUGUGUGGCGAAAUCCGAUUUUUGAGUCGCCGAGCUGUAUAUUUUUAUAGAAAUGGUACUUUGGGAUGUUGUAAAGCUAUAGCAUCUUUCGGAUCGUGAUUUGAGCUUGCAGUUUGUCCGGAACGGAAUUUUGAAGUUGAGAGUGCAUUCUGGUACUGUAGCGAACAGUAGCUUCGAGCCUUUUUUUGUUGUUUUCGGUACUAUUUUGGGGCGGGUUGAGUUCGGGUUGUUGUACGUUAAGAGAGUUUUCUAAAGACUAUAAGAUAGCUUGAAAAGGAUUUUUGUGGAGGAAGUUAUGGCGUGAUAAAGUUAGCGCUUGCGCUGCUCCUAGCAGGAAAUGAUAGGUUUUUCGAUAAAUGAGAGCUUUUGUGGCGCAUAGGUGUCAUUUUAUCGACAAAUAAGCCUAGUAUAUACGAGUCGUUAUGCGAAUAUCCUUUUUACUCGGCCUUUUGAUAUUGUUUUUCCGUUAAUUGUUAGGAAUCUGAAUGUGUUGGUUCGAGUGAGCGUCGUAGUUGAUUUUUUACUUUUCCUAGAUGAGUGAUACUAUUUAUUCUUUAUAUUUUAAACUCAAUUUUUGAGAAACAUGGUAGAUUAAAUACUUUAUGAGUUGAUAAAAAGCAUAUUUUGUUGCAUAAAACAGGAUCGAGCUAUUACUGACAUUUUUGUUGUUCGAAGUAAGUUAUAUUUUGACGUUGAUUUGAAUGGUUGUUUGAAAAAGGAUUUGUGAAAUUCUUUUUGAAAGAAUUUUGAAAUGUUUUGGAGAAUGCUUUGAUAUUUAUAUAUCAAAUUUUGAGUUGUGAUAUGACUUCUUGGAUUACUAGAUAUUGUGAUUGGUGGUUGGUGCUCAAUGUCGCUGUGGACCAGGGGUGUGUGGGUAUGCGCAUACUAUUUUAGGAUAUCCUUGUGGGCCAAGCCACCAGCUAAUAAUAGGUGGAGACCUUGCCAAGGGGGGAUCUUGGUCGUCUUAUCACGGGCGUUACGCGUGACCAUGGUUAGACAUUUGAGCAUGAAUUGGUCAAUGGGGUGAACCAUUGACGUGUGCUUUGAGUUUGGUCGAUGGAAUAGACCAUCGAUGUGAUUUGAUGAAAUUAAUCAAUGGAAUAGACCAUUGAUGCAUAUUUUAUAAGAUUGACUAAUGGACUGGACCAUUGGUAUCUUUGAUAUUUGAGUUAAGAUUAUGUAUUUGAGUUAUGUUUUAAAUGUGCAUAGUGAUUUUUUGAUCCGCUUAGAAGAAAUGUGUUAUUCACUGAGCCGUGAUAACUCACUCAUUUCUUAUACUUGUUUUUCAGGUUCUUCAGCAAGUCGCGAGUAGGUGUGAGCGUUCGCUCAGGGAGGUCUUGGGGAGGUCUUUUGUGGUGAAAAAUUUUUGGUAUGACUUGUGCAUAGUUAAUAGGUUUAUAAGUUAGUCUUUAUAGAAGAUUUAUGUUUUGAUUUUUGUGGAUUAUAGAUAUACUCUGAUAUUGUAACCAAUUGCCCCUUUUUAUCAAAUAUAUAUGUGGAUGUAUAUAUAUUGAUAUCGGGUUGAAUUUUGGUUACGUUGAGACUGCGUCCUUUAGUAAAAGGACGGCUGUGUCAUGCCCCUUCUUCUUGUGAAUCAGGGUGUGACAUUUACAAUGGGUGAUGUUAGCUUGCUAAGUGCUAAGUAUCCCCAAACUCCCACCGUUUUAUCCUGGAUCGAGGUUUCCUGUUUGUCGACAUUUUGCUCCACGGCCUGAUCUCAUCACACAUUCCGCAGAGAAGAUACCGCACAUCUACAAGGUAAGGGAACUCCUCUCUCUCUCUGACCUCAAUUACAAAUCCCGUCCCAAUUCCCAUUCUCCAAACUUCAUGGCAGUCGCCUUCAAGCACAAGCCAUCUACAUUUCUCUUUCUUUAAUAAUACCAUAAGAUGCUAUACCGGCGCACUAUGAGUGUUACACAAGAAUUAAAUAAGAUUUGACACCUCAAAGGCAGAUGAAUUUGAAAAAUAGCUAAAAUCCCCGACAAAUAGAAUUCUUACAGAUGCGCACCUGAAGAAUCGGCAAAUUUUCGUAGUUGGCCAGUGGAAAGACGUGCUCAAAUGGCACACGCAACAGUCAGAGAGAUUGUGGCAUCAUUCAUCGAUGCUACAAUAUAAUAAUCCAAUGGUCGCUUUGGCCAAAUAAAGGGGGAAAAAAGGUCGAAUCCCAAUGAUCACUGGAAAGAUCAAGAAUCUUCUAAAGAAAAAGACUAAAAUAAAACAAAGAAAAUCUUCUUCUUAUGUGUACUGCGUGUAAGUGAACUAAGAUGACGUGUGGACAACAUUGUUAUGACACGUCCUCUUUAGACGUGAUUUUCUUCUUAAAUUCGACUCGAAUCUCUGCCGAAAAUGAAUCGCCGUCCCCAGUCAGAGACCACCAGCACUCUGGUGCGCCAGCUGACUAAUUUGCUGUUAAGUUUCACAAUACCAUCAAAGGAUUGAGUGUACUAAGAAUCCGUACAUCAAUUGCACAUGCAAAUUACAAACUUACCUUGCAUAAACUGAAUACCAGAGCCACUGGGUACUGUGGCCAAUCGAGACCCAAUCCCCUGGUAGCUCAGCUGCAGUUUGUUCUCCGCCCAAGGGUGCAAAUUGUCCGAAAUGCUUGUAUCUUAAUGAAUGAUUAGACUUUCAACCAUCACGGGGACAUAACUCCACCGUCUACUUCUAAUAUGUGGGUUGGAGAAAAGUGUUACCAUGCAACGGUUGAUGUUAUGUCACAUCAGCGCUAACACUCACCAAGAUAUCUAUUUUGCAACACACAUGUUUCUUUUGCAAAAUAAUUCAUCAAAAUUCAGACCUGUUUGUCUGCGAUGAUCCUUAUGCAGUAUUAGCAUCAAAUGAUGUACCUCGAAGAAAGGCUAAUUAUUCUCUUAUUUGUGUUUGACUGGGAAAAGAAAGAUUAUAUAUGGGAGGCUUGAUGAUAUAAAAGAAACAACAGAGCGACAUACGUAUCCCAACCAGUAUGUCUAUGCAUCCAGAGAACAUAUUGGUUGGUGGAGAUGGUGUCAAUAAGAACAAUGGACCGAUUCAUGAUUAUGACAGAUCUACUUAAAUAAUCUAACCUGUUGAGGUUCAUUCUGUAGUACAACUGUAACAUAAAGCACUUGUUUUCCUGGAAGAGAAGCUUAUUGUACCUGAAGGGAUGAAACCGAUGACGUCCCGAUGCCCUGAACCUCAGAGGACCUUUGGGAUUCUUUUCGCACUCAUCCAUGCGAUUGAAACAGUCAGCGAGAUAUUCACCUUGUUGAGCAGCCACCUUUGCCAUUUACAGCACAUGUAGAUGUUGGUACUAUAAAACAAGAACGACAAAAAGAAGAAAGGAGAAGAGAGUAAUUGUACUUGAGCUGUUGCAGGAAGAUUUUUCAUCUGAGAAUCCACUUCAGCAAGGGCUAACUUAAACAGUUCAAUAUCCAGCUGGAGAGUUUGUGUUUGGCAGUCAGCAUGCUUGAGUGGAUCAAAAAAGUUCCUCAUGUUUUUCUUCUUCAAGUAUAGCUGCACUUGUGGAUACCGUUCGCAGAUGUCCGCAACAACUUCUUUUGCAUCUUGUAUACUCAGCUUACCUGUCUUAGACUUAGCUUGUUAACUUGGAUAAUGAAGAAUAACAGAAGGCAGGACUGUUUGAUGUGUUCUCUCCCUUUUUCCAUCCUAUCAUUACAGUGAAAGGUCUGUCCAGUAUUGUGGUGAUCUCAGCUCAAAUUGUGUUUUCUCCUUAAAUAUGCUUUUCAUAUGGUACAAAAAUUUAGUUAAGAUGCUUGUGUAGGAGCCAUAUGCAGAUUGAAAUUUAUUAAUGGGAACAUAAAUUUUGAGAGCUACGGAAUAUGGACUCCUGCCACUUCAGAGGUAUGGAGAAUUGUGUCAGGAUGAUAUAUCAAAAAAGUUUAAUUUGUGAAUUUGGAGUAUAUGCGCCAUAAGUUUGGAAGGUGAUACUUUGUGGUGGACAGUCAGAGUCCCAAUGUUUGAAGAGGCCGAAAUUUUUUGCCUUUUAUACAUGUGGUAAUUGGGGUUGCAUCUAUAAGUAAUUUGUAAGAAAGGCAAUUUUUAUUUAUGAAAGUUGAAAUGUUUGUUUGUUUUUUUUUUUUCAAAUUCUCAGGUUUGAUGAAAGAAUCAGUUCAUUUGCUGAGCAGAAGUUCCAAAGGGACGGCAUUGAUGUCCGUACUGGUUGUCGAGCUCUUGGGGUUUCAGAAAAGUCGCUUUCUGUGAAGGUGAAAUCCCAUGGAGAGGUUUACUCGAUUCCUCAUGGAUUGGUUGUUUGGUCAACUGGUGUAGGGACUCGUCCAGUAGUGGGCGACUUCAUGGAGCAAGUUGGUCAGGUUUGUGACAUACUGCCACGCAUGCAUGAAAUGGACUCUAAGAAACCGUGACACUGAACGUGCAGGAUUAUAUCUAUUGCCUUAGUGCCCUCAACCUACGGCUACACAUCGAUUCCUUCUCUUGCCAUGUCUCAACUACUGAUAUGCUGUAUCAUUGUUCUUAGCAGAAUGAUUUGAGAUUUUGCUCAAUCUGCAGGGUGAUAGACGAGCUCUUGCAACUAAUGAAUGGCUACGGGUGAAGGGCACUGAAAAUGUCUAUGCCCUAGGUGAUUGUGCUGCAAUAGACCAACGUAAAAUAAUGGUAUAUUUUUAACUGAUGUCUGUUUUAUCGUAUGUUCAUAUGGCUGGAUGUGUCGGUCUCUGUCAGUUAGCAGCACUUACACUUAAAAGUAACAUUUCUCAGUCAUUCCUGUCCAACUCACUGGGAGAUUGAAGAGCGGUUUGCACUUUGCGCCCCAGCCCCCAACACUUAAAAGUAACGUAUCUCAGUCAUUCACAUGGAUGGCCUCAUUGUGGAACUAGCAUGAAAAUGCUUCUCGUGUGAAACAUCAGAUUGGUUAAUGUCUUUGGAAGUUUAUUUUCAGUUCAUAUUAAUUGACCACAUUACAUCAUGCAUGGGUUUCUUGAUUAGCACAUGGUUCCCCUUUGAAAGAGCAUCUUGAUCCUGUCCCAUUUAUCUUAUUCUUCUCUAGCGGAUAUACAUGAUAAGUUGCCUAUCUUUAACAUGUGGCAUGAAAAUACUUAGUGAAAUAUAAGUAUUUAUCUUCCACAAUGUGAUGUGGCUGUCGUACAGCACCAAAUAGUACUGAUCAUUGUUACUAGCUUAAAUAAAGCAAAGCUGCAUUUUACAAACUCUUAAUUUUCUACUAAUGGUAAUAUUGACCUGAGAGAUGGUAUUUAUCAUCAUUGUACUCUUGUUUUCUCCUUCUAAAUUAUGAUUACUACAUUUGAUAUACUCAGGAGGACAUCUCGAGCAUAUUCAAGGCUGCAGACGAGGAUAACUCUGGCACUUUAACUGUUAGUGAAUUUCAAGAUGUUGUGGAUGAUAUCCUCAUACGGUAUCCCCAAGUGGAACUAUACUUGAAGAGCAAGCAUUUGAAGGAUGUAACCGAUCUGCUGAGAUAUCCAGAAGGCAAUGAGAGAGAGAGAGUGUAGAUACUGAAGAAUUUAAAUCGGCCCUUUGUCAUGUGGAUUCACAGGCGAAGAGUCUGCCAGCCACUGCUCAGGUGAUAGUUUUGGAAGUCUCUUUCAAGUAAAAUUUGCUGUGGCUUCUUUCUUGCCACCAUCAUAGAGGCACUUAAAUCAUCUAAUGCUUUCCUUUCUAGGUCGCUGCUCAACAAGGAGCUUAUCUUUCAAGGUGCUUCAACCGGAGACAGCAGUGUCAAGAACUUCCUGAAGGUCCAAGACGUUUUACUGGUGCCGAGCAGCAUCAAUUUCGUCCUUUUCGGUAUGUUACAUUUUCACUAUGUUUAUCUUUUUUCAUCGAUGGGAAUUAUAGAUGAGUUUGCUAUAUAUAUAUUUGUUUCCUUUCCACUCCCGACAACUGAUUUCUUUUUAUGUGGUCAAAAAAUAAAGGUACAAGCAUUUUGGAACGUUUGCUCCUUUGGGAGGAGAGCAAGCUGCUGCUGAACUUCCCGGAGACUGGGUAUCUAUGGGUCAUAGUACUCAAUGGCUGUGGUAUUCUGUAUAUGCGAGGUGCAAAAUCCCUUCAUACAUUGGUAAAAAUAUCAUUUGAUGUUUUGUGUUGCGACAUUUAAAGCUUUUCCCUUUUUCUUCAGCAAGCAAGUAAGCUGGCGCACACGGGUGUUGGUUGUAUCCGAUUGGACACGAAGAUUUGUUUUCGGAAGAGACUUGUAACAUCCCGGGCCCCACUUUGUAAUAUUGUCUACUUUGGGUCACCGCCCUGGCGCGAACGAACCGCUAUCCCAGCCACAGUCUUUUCUCUCACGGCUUUAAAACGCGUCCUUAUAAGCUAACCGAGACCUCCCUCCCUAGGCGAUGUGGGACAAAAGAGGAGGCUGUCACACUCUCCACCUCUUAACAGAAGAGCGUCCUCGCUGUGGCCUCACGGGCGUCAAAACAGCAUUCAAGCUGUGGUCCCACACGCGGCCCACGGGCGUCAGAACAGCAUUCGAGCUGUGGUCCCACACGCGGUUGGGAGUUGGCUCUGAUACCACUUGUAACAUGGCCCUACUGUGUAAUAUUGUCCGCUUUGGGUCACCCGCCCUGGCACGAACGAACCGCCAUCUGAGCUGUGGUCCCACACGCGGUCGGGAGUCGGCUCUGAUACCACUUGUAACAUGGCCCCACUGUGUAAUAUUGUCCGCUUUGAGUCACCCGCCCUGGCGCGAACGAACCGCCAUCCCAGCUAUGAUCUUUUCCCUCACAGCUUUAAAAGGCGUUACACAUAUUAGAGGGACCCAAACCUUAUAAGCUAACCAAGACUUUCCUCUCUAGGCGAUAUGGGACAAGAGAUGAGGCUAUCACACUCUCCACCUCUUAACAGAAGAGCGUCCUCGCUGUAGCCCCACAGGUGUCAGAACAGCAUUCAAGCUGUGGUCCCACAUGCGGUAGGCGAUAUGGGACAAGAGACCCAAACCUUAUAAGCUAACCAAGACCUCCCUCUCUAGGCGAUAUGGGACAAGAGAGGAGGCUAUCACACUCUCCACCUCUUAACAGAAUAGCGUCAUUGCUGUGGCCCCACAGGCGUCAGAACAGCAUUCAAGCUGUGGUCCCACACGCGGUCGGGACGCCAUCCCAGCUACAGUCUUUUCCCUCACGGCUUUAAAAUGCGUUACACAGAUUAGAGGGACCCAAACCUUAUAAGCUAACCAAGACCUCCCUCCCUAGGCGAUGUGGGACAAGAGAGGAGACUAUCACACUCUCCACCUCUUAAUAGAAGAGAGUAGCAUUCAAGCUGUGGUCCCACACAUGGUCGAGACGCCAUCCCAGCUACGGUCUUUUCCCUCACGGCUUUAAAAUGCAUUACACGCACACUCUCCACCUCUUAAUAGAAGAGAGCAGCAUUCAAGCUGUGGUCCCACACGCGGUCGAGACGCCAUCCCAGCUACGGUCUUUUCCCUCACGGCUUUAAAACACGUUACACACAGAUUAGAGGACCCAAGCCUAGACCCAAACCUUAUAAGCUAACCAAGACCUCCCUCCCUAGGCGAUGUGGGACAAUAGAGAAGGUUAUCACACUCUCCACCUCUUAACAGAAGAUAGUCCUUGCUGUGGCCCCACGGGCGUCAAAACAGCAUUCGAGUUGUGGUCCCACACACGAUCAGGAGUCGGCUCUGAUACCACUUGUAACAUCUCGGGCCCCACUGUGUAAUAUUAUCCGCUUUGGGUCCGUGCUAGGGACGAACCGCCAUCCUAGCCACGGUCUUUUCCCUCACGGCUUUAAAACGCGUUACACAAAUUAGAGGGAACCCAAACCUUAUAAGCUAACCAAGACCUCCCUCCCUAGGCGAUGUGGGACAAGAGAGGAGGCUGUCACACUUGUAACAUCCCGGGCCCCACUAUAUAAUAUUGUCCGCUUUGGGUCACAUGCCCUGGUGCGGAUGAACCGCCAUCCCAGCCACGGUAUUUUUCUUCACGGCUUUAAAACGCAUUACACAGAUUAGAGGGACUCAAACCUUAUAAGCUAACCAAGACCUCCCUCCCUAGGCGAUAUGGGACAAGAGAGGAGGUUGUCACAAGACUCGAGCCAUAUUUGAGGUGACGAAUGAGACAUGUAAAUAAUGUUGAGAACCAAAGGAAUGUCGCUGUUGGACAUGGAAGACUGCUUUUGGCUUCUUCUUCCAAGUGUGAUUGGCCAUGUAAUCUUAUGUCUUUCUGCAAGUUAGUGGGAGGUGAAAGCAUUGCCCCUUAAAUCAUGUCAUGUAGUAAGUAGAUCAAAAGUAUGUUGUGAUGUUGCCGAAAAGUUUAGUUGAAUGCUCUCGGACAAAGGUGCUCAUCGUGUUUGCAAAACAUGUAUUGGCUCUGUUCAUUGUAACAUUGGGGGCUCAGUGAACUUGCCUAGUUGACUAAAUCUGUGUAGUCAUGCCACUACCAUGUGAAGGCAGGCGUCCUGCUAGAGAACUGGAUACGAGGACCAGUAAAAUUCCAGGCAAAUAUGGUAGACUGCCACAUUCCUUCUUUGGAGUUGAGACAUCUCUAAAUGAAUUGCAUUAUUUUUUGAGAAGAGAGAGGAGAAAGAGGGUAAUGCAACGUUAUAAUCGAACUUUAAACUCUAUUAAUAUUUCAAUUAGUUGUCUGAUUCCUUUUUUCACAGGCUAAUGGUAAUUUUAGCUUAAUUAUUCAAUCUGAAAGCAUUCAGAUUAAGGGUGAUUGGUUUCAGCAUGAAUAGCUUCCAAACUUAAAAACUGAAAUUAGAAAUUUAUUUUGUCGAGCUAGUUCCAAUUUUUUAUAUUGGAACCAACUCAGUUCCAAAUUGACCGGUUUUAGGAUCAAUCCGGAAAUUGGCUGAGUUUCUUUUUCUUUCUGUUCCUUUUCAUUUUAUUAUACAGAUGAUGUGCAUUUGUGCAAAUUUGAAUGCAAUUCUUUCUAAUUGAAGAUACUAUCAACAGAUAUUUACUUUUAAUAAAUAUUUUUGUUCCAAAAGAAAGAACCUUUCCUAACAAUCUCUAAAAUCGGCGAGGGGAGAGAGAGAGAGAGCACCAACUUUCUUCCAUUUGGUUCCGCAUUUUCAGACCCUUUUCAACAUCAGAAUUUCCGAAUCUUCCCGUGUUUAAAGGAAGCAACUUUAUGUUGCUCCUUUUCAUUUUUCAACUCGUAUCAUCCUUUUUCUCCAUAUGCCUCGAGGAUUCCAACCAUUUCUUCUAUCAUCGUGUGUAGGGAGAAUCCUCAUCGGUCCUCGAGGAAGAAGGUGUAUAGUUUCCCUCGGACUGUCCCAUCUUUAGUUGGACAAAGUGUCAAGUCAAUCUCGCAGUCUUGUUUAGCCUCAUGGCAUCCAUAUUCCAAGCGCUUUGUAUUCCCGCCCUGCUAGAUGCGUCAUUCCACCUAUAUUUACCAUUUUCCUCACAUAGAAAGUUUUAGUAGGAAAAAUUAUCCAAAAAUUCCUAAACUUAUUAUAUUUACCCAUUUAAUUUUACACAUUUUAACUAUGUCAAUUGAGUUGUGGACUUUUUUAUGUUUUGCUAAUAGAAUCUAUUCAAUCAAUUUUGAUUGAAAAUCGCUGACAUAAAUGUUGGAUGCCUUACGUAACAUAAACAUUUUUAAUAAUUUUUUAAAUUUUUUCUCAAAUAGUCAUCUAAGAAAUGAUCAGCCCAACGCAUACCCCCUAACCCAAUUUCUAGAAGAAUUAAAACCACAAUUUCUUGCUCUGCCCAGCUUACCAUAUGUACAAUAUCUUAGACCCUGCUUUCAAUGUGUACACAUAAAUGAAGUCGCCGCAUCUAGUCUCAAAAUCCUUCUUCAAUCCUCUUCACCUGCUGAGCCUUGCUCUCCCCAAAUUCCUUGGCGGCGUCAUA